UAGAGGUGAGUAAACUUGAGCUUCAGCUUUCCUCAAACACCUUAAUUUGAAGACACAGUUCUCUCAUACUAAAAAAGACAUGGAAGUUUGCCUUGUAAUUAGAGAUUUGGUUUCAUUGCUUGUUGUUGGGUUAUUAAUGAUAUGGGGAUGGAGAACUUUAAACUGGGUAUGGCUGGCCCCAAAAAGGCUCGAAAGCUGCUUGAGACAACAGGGUUUUGCAGGGAAUCCUUACAGGUUCCUUUCUGGUGACAUAAAAGAGCUCUUCACUAUGAGCAGACAAACAAGAGCCAAACCAAUGCCUCUUAGUGAUGAUAUUGGGCCUUAUGUUGUUCCUUUUCAACAUCAAACUGCUAACCAGUAUGGUAUGUUUUUUUUAUUUAAUCUGCAAAUUAUGAUAAUUCUUUGUUAUUUAUGUAUGGAAUUUAUUGGGAGGAAAUGCAGGAAAGAAUUCAUUUACGUGGUUUGGUCCAAGACCAAGGGUGAACAUUACGGACCCUGAAAAAAUAAGAGAAAUACUUAACAAAUUUAAUGACUUCCAGAAGAUACGUACCAAUCCUCUGCUUAAUUUGCUUGUAAGCGGCCUUGUUAACCUCGAAGGAGACCGAUGGAGCAAGCGUAGAAAAAUCAUAAACCCUGCAUUUCAUCAAGAUAAGUUGAAGGUAUAGAAUAGUGAUGGGUAAUCAGACUUUACAGAAAACAUCAUACUUAAACCAAUGCUUUUCUGAUUUAGAAAUAAUUGGAUGCAGAAUAUGUUGCCAGCAUUUUAUCAAAGUUGUAGUGACAUGUUAAGCAAAUGGGAGAAGAUGGUGUGUACAGAAGGAUACAGUGAGUUAGAUGUGAGGCCUUAUCUCGUAGAUUUGACAAGAGAUGUGAUUUCCCGAUCUGCUUUUGGAAGCAGCUUCGAAGAAGGCAAACGAAUUUUCCAAUUACUAGAGGACCAACUCGUUCUCACAAUCAAAUUAAUACAAACUGUUUACAUUCCAGGAUGGAGGUAACCGUCAACUUAAUUUACUUGAAAAAGGUUGCAAAUCUUGGAAUUGGCUAAAUUCGUGUUUGUUUUCUUGAAGGUUUUUGCCAACGAAGACAAACAGGGAGAUGAAGAUGAAACACAGAGACAUAAAAGAGUCGCUUAGGGAAAUGAUAAAGAGAAGGGAGAAGGCAAUUAAAGCAGGGGAAGAGAGCAAUGAGGACUUGUUGGACAUACUUGUGGAAUCCAAUAUCAGAGAAAUGGAAGCAAAGAAUAUGGGGAUGAGCAUUGAGGAUGUGAUUGAGGAAUGCAAGCUGUUUUACUUUGCUGGCCAAGAGACCACUUCGGUCUUACUGGUGUGGACUAUGGUUUUAUUAGCAAGGUAUCCCGAUUGGCAAAGUAAAGCAAGAGAGGAGGUUUUGCAUGUUUUGGGUGACAAUAAACCUGAUGCUGAUGGCCUUAAUCGUCUCAAAGUUGUAAGUCCCUAGCAUGUCUUUUGAAGGUCCGAUCAAUGAGGUCGACAACUCAAAAACUUUGUUUCUUUUUUCGCUAAUUCUACAGGUAACGAUGAUAUUGUACGAGGUUCUAAGGCUGUACCCACCGGUGGUUGAGCUAGGACGUUCCGUUCCAAAAGAAAUAAAACUGGGGAAUUUGUUGUUACCAGUAGGAACAGAAGUUUCGGUUCCGAUCCUGCAGAUCCACCAUGACAAAGAUCUUUGGGGUAACGACGCACGGGAAUUUAAGCCAGAGCGGUUCGCGGAAGGGGUUUCCAAAGCAACAAAGAGUCAAGUCACGUUUCUGCCAUUCGGAUGGGGUCCUAGGAUCUGUAUUGGCCAAAAUUUUGCUUUGAUGGAAGCCAAAAUGGCGAUGGCUAUGAUUCUCCAACGCUUCUGGUUCGAGCUUUCCCCUUCCUAUGCUCACUCUCCUUACAGCAGGGGAACUCUUCGUCCACAGCAUGGUGCACAGAUAAUUUUACAUAAACUUGGCUGUAAUUGAAUUGUUAUGUAAACAAAUCUUUGUGAAAACAUAGCGUUUUAGUGUAUCGUCAAAGUCCGGUGUCUGUAAUGGUACAAAUUCGAUGCAUGAAUAGUAAAUUUUGAGAUGUUUGGUGAAGUCCGAAAUAAUAUGCAGAAAUUGAGCGUCUAUGGUGGACAUAGUUGAGGGACUAAUGUGGUAAUUAUCAAUCAAAUAAUUCGGUACAAAGACUUGUAUGGAAAUUAAAGCAGGGGGAGUUGAAAAUGACUACUCUGCUUUGGGCAUCAAUUUAGAAAGAUUUAAAGUACAACUGUGUUAUCAGUUAAGGGAUUUGUUUUAAAGAGGGAAUGACAAUUAAACCUCAUGGUUUAUUUGUGCAAGGGAACCGAUGAUGGGAUGAUUAUUCUUAGUGGUAAAAAAAACCAUUAUGGAGGUUAUUACACUUGUUAUCAUCAGCUUAAAAUUCGAAUGGGUUCAAGUCGGAUUAUAUCGAGCUUGUAAGAUGAGUUCACGGACCAAGUUUGCAUAAUAAAAUACCUAAAUGAAAAAAAAUUCUAUUUUAGAGGGACGAGAGCCCCUAUCAACUCCCGGCUCAGCCACUAAACAAUACCUAUAUCAUAUAAAUAAAUACCACCAUCUAAAAGACUCAAAGAAAAACACUCAACAAAGGAUAAAUAGAUAGAUGUUGGAUAAGUGUCCAAAAUAUGAUUUAAGUGAAGAUACAUGUGGUAGGUGUUACGGAAAUGUGAAGACAAGAAUCCCACUAACGUAUGGGAUGUGUGCAGUUGAAUGUAGGGAGCAAAAAGAGGAGUGAAUCAUUUUGGUAACAUUUGGACAAGAAACAUAAUGAACAAAAUGGAAGGAGAGGAAGCUAGUAAAAGAAUUUUUUUGGGUCAUAUAAUUUGUUCAUUUUGGAGUUGAAUUAUAAUUUUUUUAUAUAUUAUUUUAAAAUUUUAAGGAGUUAAAACAAAAUUAUUUUAUUUUCAGAUGGUCAAAGUAGAGGUGAUAAUGGGUUGGGCUAUUCGGCCCGGCCUGACGAUUCACUCGAAAAAUAGGAGGGUUUAGGUAAAAAUAUAGGCUCGAAAUAGGGAUUUGAGCAAAAAAAGAGUCCCGUUUAGAAAAUGGGCCAGGCCUCGGGUAAAAUUUUUUGGGCCCAAGCCUGACCUGAAUUAUAUAUUAAAUAUAUUUUUUAAUUUUUAAUCAAAUAUACUUUUUUUUAUUAAUUUGGUUAUUAUUUUAGUUCUAAUUUGUUUCAAUUUUAAUAUAACCACUUUUUAUUAUAUUUUCAAUUUGUGUAUUGUUUUAAGAAUUGUUUUAGUCUCAUUUUUUUAUUUAUUUUUUGUUUUAAUAAUUGUUUUAAAAAUUUUUAUUUAAUGAAAUAAGCUAAAAAAAUUAAUAUGGGCUUGGCCAGGCCAGGCUCGGGCCUAGUAAUUUUCUUUUGGGCCGGACUUAGAUAAAAUUUUAAGCCCAUAUUUUAAAUUGGGUCCUAACCUAAAAAAUGAACCUAAAAUUUUAUAUGGGCCCGACUUGGCCCUUGAUUACCUUUAGGUCAGAGCUAUCCUCGUUUUGCAUUUCUUUGAGAUUCAGCCUUAUCUACUGUGAUUGCCCACUCAAUUGAGGGUUGAGUAGAAAGAUUUGGUGAAGCAAGCUAAGCUAUCAAUCAAGGUUUGCAUAAUUAUUUAAAUGUAAUUCUAAUAUUAAAAUAAUUUUUUUAUUAAUAUAGUAUCAACAAGCAUUAAAUGUAAUGAUCAUAUACUAUUACAUUUUAAAGAAGAGAAAACAUGUUUGAACUUUAAAAACCACGUUACUAAAAACAUUAUCACAAACCUUGAAAUAUAAAAAAUAAUUUUUUUAAUAUAAUAAAAAAUUAAUUUUAAACCCGAGCUGAAUAAAAUUCUAAUUUUAGUUAAUGAUACGAACAACAAAUCAAUAUUCUAAGCCCGAGCCCUGCUCAUUUUUUUAAUAAACACCAAAAAUUUAUUUUGAAAAUAAAAAAUAAAAAAAAUAUUUUAAAAAUAUUUUAAAAAUAAAAAAAAUUAAAAAUAAAUAUUUAUUAUAUAUUCAGGCCGGGCCGGGCUAGCCUUGGGCUAAAAAAAUGGUGCCCGAGGCCCGGCCCAUUUUCUAAAUAGGCCUCAUUUUUUGUCCAAACCCAUAUUUUGGGCCUAUAUUUUUACCCGAACCUCUCAUAUUUUGGGCGGACCGUCGGGCCGGACCGGGCCGCCCGGCCAUGAACACCUCUAGGGCAAAGUCACUCAAUGAAUGCAUGGAAAGAAAUAUUGCAACUUGGUGACAGCUUUUGUUGGAGUUAUAUGCUUUUUUUUACAUAGUGGAACUUUCGGUGGAUUUUCAAGUUUCAUGAACUUUAUACCCUAGGCUUUACGUGAAAAAAAUCAUUGGACUUAAAAGUCUACCAAAAGUUUCACUAUAAUAAAUAAAUAAAUAAAUAACAUUGCUACAAGACUACAACAUAAAGUUACAAUAAGAGCUUAUAACUCAACAAAGGCUAUCAAUAAAUAAUCUCAAGCAAGCUAAAGAGAAAUGUUGAGAGUACCACUCAAAUAGUGAUUGACUUUAAAAAUUGAAAACCCGAAGUUAUUGUUGACACCAUUUUUUGGAUGAAAAUGUGUCGACUUGGGUUUUGAAAAUGAAAACGAAAACGAGAGUCGCCACCAAUCCUUUUUGAUAAGGUGUGACUGGGUCACCUUGAAAAGUGGUUGUUUUUAAUAAACGAUUUGAUUUUAUUAAAACAACAGUUUUGGUCCACGAAAUUCAGAAAAAUGAGUUCGGGAGUCGGUUACGCACGAGGAAGGAUUAGCACCCUCGAUACGCCCAAAAUUGGUACCUAGUUGAUUACUUAAUGUCUUAAUGUCGAAAAUUGAAAACUUUGGAGAAUUUUAAACAUACGAUCCUUGUAUUAAAACGUUAAAAAUUUUCAAGAAAAUGGGAUAUUUCACGUUAUUCGAUAAAGAGAAUCAUAUCCUAGUAAGUUAGGACACAAUAUCUCGAAUUUCCGAUAUCAUUUAAAACUUGAGUUUGAAAAGAUUCGUGUAAUAAAGUUUAAAAUAAUAUUCAAUUGUUUAAAUCAAAUGAAGAAAUCGCAACCCAAUACGUUAGGGCACAAUUUCUCAAAAUAUUAAACAUUGAAUAUUGCAUUUAUUUCGAAAAAUCCUCAUCUCGAGAAAACGUGUCACAUCCAAUGCAUUAGAAUACAACGUAUUGAAUUCUCGAUAACGAGCUUUUUCUCAUUUUUUAAAAGAGUAAUCUCGAUUAUUUAGGUUCAACGAAGAAAAUCAAAACCCAAUACGUUAGGGCUCGAUUUUCUCAAAGAUUCCAAAUACCGAGUAUUACUUAUAUUUUUAAAAUUUCUUUUUUGAAAUCCGAGUAAAAAUGAAUGCAAAAUAAUAAAUGAUGACAAUGUAAAUAAAAUGAUACAAGCAAAACAAUAAACAAUAAAAAUAAUCAUACGGGCAAGGUAACAAAUAAUUAGGAACUAAAGAAAGAGAACAAACAAUAAUAAACAUGCAAAUAAAUGAACAAAAUUAACAACAUGAUGCAAAUAUGAAAGAUAUAUAAGCACAUAUAUAUACAUAAAAUAAUGAGAAUAUGAAAAAAUGUGUGUAAUUGGACAUGUUUCGGAAUUAUUAUACAUUUAAAAAUCAUGUAAAUGUGUGUACAUACAUAUAUACAUAUAUAAUAAUCAUUAAAUAUAUAAAAAUACAUAUGUGUAGGUAUAUAUGAGUCAUAAAAUGUAAAGAAUAUAUACAAGAUAUAUUUUGAACGUAUAAAGUAUAUGUAAAUGUAUAUAUAUAAUAAAGGUGUAUGAAAGCAUAUUUUAUAUACGUGUAUUUAUAAAAUGUAUAUAAAUGUAUAUUGAUUUACCAAUACAUAUGGAUUUAUAAUUAUAGAAUAUAUAUAAAAUAUUUACAUAUAUACGUUUAUGCAUAUAUAAAAGUAAGUUAUUAUAAAAUAUGAGCAAGCAGAAUACAUAAAUAUAUAUACAUAAAAUAAAAAUGAAGAUGAAAAUAAUAUAAAACUACUUAAUAUAUUAAUAUAAUAGUAACAAAUUAAAAAAACAGAAAAUAAAGCUAAUAAUAAUUAAUAAUAGUAGUAAUAAUUAUAGCAGCAAUGAUAAUGAUAAUAAUAAUAACACUAAAAAAAUUAAUUAAAUAAUAAAAUUGCUAAAAAGGGAUUAAAUCGAAAUAAAAACAUAAAUACUGGGCGAUUUUGAAAUAAAAAACGGGAAGGACCGAAUUGCAACGCGCGUUGAAAAGGAAAGGGCCAAAACUGCAAAUAAACCACAGCCCCAAAACGCAGCGUUGAAAUGGACCAAGUCGAAAUAAAAAUAAAAUUGCAGGGGCUAAAUUAAAAAUAAGAGAAAAUAACGAAAAAUGAUCAAAUUGUAAUACGCUGCAAAAUCAGGGGGACUGCACGCGCAAAUAGCCCAAAAACUGAAAACACGCGGAUCCUCCGGGUCGGGUCGGGUCGGGUCAGGUCGACGUGCGGAUCCCCUUUGCUAAAACGGCGUCGUUUCAUGUUUAAUAUAAAUACUAAAAAAAGCUAAAAAAAACAGUUUCAUCUUUUUUUAAAAAAAACAGAGAGAAAACUCUCUCUUUUUCCCUCAGGUCCGGCCAUGGUCCGGCUUGGGAUUUCCGACGAGUCUCCGCCGCAAAGCCACCGUGUGUGGCGGCCGGAGGUUCAAAAUCAGACCUUUUUGGUCCUUUUUUAAAGUCCAUGGCCUCCAAGCCACAGAUCCGGGGCUGAAUCUCCUGAAUCGAAAGCCGAAGACCCAAAAAAUGGGGUGAAAUCCUUCGCCUUCCUCCCCCUUCCGGCGCUGCGCAGGUAAGGUUUUUUUUAACUCCUUUUUUACUAUCUUUAUUUAUAUAUAUACAUGAAGAGAAAAGAGAGCAAAAUAAAUAAAUAAAUAAAAACUUCAAAACUGAAGAGAAAAAGACCUUGAAUCUGCCUUAUUUAUUUUCUUUCGGUUGAAUCUGUUUUUGUUUGUUACAAAAGUUUCCAGGGAAGAGAAAAAAAAAGAGAGUUACAUGCUUGGCUUUUAUAGCCGAUAUUAAUUUCUAUUUUUUGUUUUCUUUUUCCUUUCUUUUCUUUGGCUGUUGCGUGUUUGCUUCCUUAUUGCAGGGUGAUUGACGGGAGUGGUUGGCGACAGAGUCGGUGGCCACUUGCACUGAUGAAGCAGCGGUGGCGGCGCUAGGGUAGGCUAGGGACGGCGGCAGUACUAGGGUUUCAGAAAACUGAAACCCUAGUUUGACAAAUUGGUUUCGGGCCUGUUGGGCUUUAAAUUAUGGGCUUUGUAAUUGGGUUUUGGGUUUAGGUGAUUUGGGUUUAGGUGGUAUGGGCCCGGGUCAAAUUUUGGGUAAUGGGAUUGGGGCAAAAUUGGGUUGUACAGUUAUAAUAUCCCAAACGAAAUCAAACUAUAAACAUUAAAUUUUUCGAGUCUUCUAGAUACUGUAAAAAAUUCAGCUCCAACGGACACCAAAUGAACCUAUGAUCGAAGAAAAUACGAAGACUAGUCUGGCUAAAUCAAUCUGCCAAACUUACUUUUUAUCUUAUCUUUAAUUUGCUGUGAAAUUCAAAACUACGUGUAAUACUCAAUUUAUGCUCGACCCAUUUUGUUAAAACAAAUAAAAAAGAAAAGAAAAACAAAAUAUUUAAAUUUAGCCCAAAUGUCCAUUUACACAGCCCAAUUACAAUUGCAAAUAAAAAAAACUAAAACUAAACCCGAUCCUAAGCAUCAGCCCAAAUUCGACCCAUGCCCAAAACGAAUUCAGAUGCAGAAACCCUAGCCCAGCCUUAAUGCAAGCAAAAGUCGAAAGCCCUAAUAGUUGGUGCGCCGCUCCUGUAACAGCCCGAUUUUGGGCCUAGUCGGAACAGUGGUUUUGGGACCACAAAUCCGACGAGAAAAAAAUGUAAUGGCCCGAAUUUUCAGAGGUGUCAGAACGGUGAUUCGAGAUCACUAAAUUCGACAAAUGGGUAGAAAAUAUUAUUAAUUUAGUAAGUAUAAGUUAAAUGUGAAGUUAGGAAAAUUUUUGAAAUGGUGAAUAGUACACUAGAAAUAAAUAUUAAAAUAAUUAGAAUCGAAAAUGAGGUAUCGAGACCUCGGGGAUUUUAAACCGAGCCAUAAAUAUUUUUAUAAAUAUUUAUGUAGUCUUAAAAAGUUAGUAUUAAAGUUUCGUUAAGAAAUUUUAAAGUUCCGAUAAUUAAUUGAACAAAAAGGACUAAAUUGUAACAAAUACAAAAUUAUGAGAAAUGAUUAAAUAGUUUAAAUGAUAAAAGGAAGAGGGCUUAAAAGGUAAAUAGACCCAAGGUCUAUUUGGGCUGCACGGCAAAGGCAUGAAAUCAGCAACAAAGUAAGGAGAAUUAAGGGCAAAAUUGGAAUAUUGCAAAAUUUACUUAAUAAAGUUAGGACCAAAGUGGAAUUAUCUAGAUUUCUCUUUAUUUUUCUGCAUUAUCAUCAGCAUAAACACCAUAGAAGGGUUUUCUUAAGCUGGUUCUUCCUAUUUUUACUGCAGGUAAGUUCAAUUCUUGAUUAUUUCUUGAAAAUUUUGUGUUUUUGUGACUUUUACAACUAGGCCCACUUAUUGUAUUCAUUAGUUUUUGAUUCUAUGAAAGAAGUUGAAAGUUGCUAUGAAUACAUGCUGGAAGUAUAUGAUGAUUUAGCAUGGAAUUAGAGCUUUAAAUUGUUCAUAUGCUGAUUUAUUGAAAGAAUUGAAUAGAAAGUGAAUGUUUGGGACCUAAUAGUAAAAGAGUUUGAAGAUAGAGUUAUAUGUGGAAAUUCUGAAUUUCAAUAGUUGUGAAACAACUUAUAAUGUCUAGGUUAAGUAUUAAUUGAGAAAAUUAAAUUAAUUGAGGGGUUAAUUGAGAAAGGACCGAAUUGUAUAAACUGUGAAAUUUGGGGCAAAAAGGAAAUCAACAUUUUACACUAAAGCAGUUUUGGACAGCAGCAGUAGUAUAACUUUGAAAAAUCACCAAAAAUUUUGAGAAUUGAAUUAGAGGGUGAAUAAAAUAUAAAAUUAAAGCUCCUUGAAUCUAGUUUCUCAUAGAAGAAACGGUGUAAGCAAUGGAAUUGUAAAUCAUGAGAUAUAAUAAAUUUUGUGAGACAAUGUCAUAAUGAUUUCGGGUUCCCCUAUUCUGACUUUGGAAAAUCAUCAAAAAAUUAAGAAAAAUAUGAGUUAUAAUUUAUAUGAUUACAAUCCUUAAUGAGUCUAUUUUCAAAGAAAAUAAACGGAAAUAUCAUCCAAAUUCUGUACAAUUAUAUAAUUCAUUUUUAGUGAAGAGUGGUCGAAACUGUCAGACAGCGAAAUAGGGGGAACUUUAAAGAAUAAACUGUACUAUUUGGCUGAACCAAAAAUUCUGAAAAUUUUAUGGUAAGAAGGUAUGUGAGUCUAGUUUUAAGGAAAAUUAACGGAUCUUAAUUUAGAGCUCUGUAGCUCUAGAUAAAAAUAAUUUAGUGACUCUGACUCAGAUAAAUAGCUUUGAAUGUACAUGUGAGUGAAUAGUGAAAUUAUAGCUAGUGUUGUUUAAGUGUGUUAUACACAUUAAGGAUAUGGAAUGGAGAGGAGGAGGAGGAGGAAAAAUUGGGAAAUAUAUGAAUGAUUUGUGUAUAAUUGGUCAUAUGCUUAAUUAUAAUUGAUAAACGAUGAAAUAGAAAUGAUGCAUAUAUUUGUGCAGUAUUGGUCAUGGUUUAAGCUCAUGUGGGAAAAUAAAGUUUAUAGUACGUGUGUAUUAUAUUUUUGGUAUAUGAUUUGGCAUUAAGUAAUGUCGUGAAUGGAUAUUGAAUUAACACAUGUUGGAAAGUUUGAUAUAUGAAUAAAUAUUGUGAUCAUGAAAGAGUGUUACAGCUCCUGCCUUCAGCACGCGUCGAGCCUCCGCGCCAAAUCCACGUGAGCCUCCGUACACUCCAACUAGCCUCCGUACCUGCAACAAACAAAAGUAGACAAAACAACAGCAAAGGAUAGGAAGAAAAGGCAGUAAAUAGUGAAGAUUUUUCUGUAAUUUUCUUUGGAUUUCAUUAUGUAUUUUCGGCUAUAAAAGAGCCAUUAGGAAUAUUUGUAAAGGGUUUUUUUUUUACCCUCACACACAAAGAGAAUAUACACGCAUACAAGAUCAAUAUAGAGAAAGAAAUAAAAAUAAAUAAAUACAAAGAAUAGAAAAUCAAGUUUCGAAGGUGAUUCUUUGAAAAAUCCUUUUCGUUUUUCUCAUUUUUCCUUUUUCCUGGAUCUUUUGUUCAUUUCAAGUAAAAAAAGUAUAGAAAGGAAACAAGUUUAGAGGAAGGAGGUUUACCUGGACGCCGGACCUCGCUCGCCUCGUCGAAAUCGAAGGCUGAGAGGGGAUAAAUCGGUUUUGCGGCAGAAGGAAAGGGGGGCUAGGGUUCUUGUUUUAACUUUUUUAAAAAAAAUAGAAAAGGUUGCUAAUUAGGUUUUAAUGGGGGAUUUAUGUGUGUUAAAAAAACGACGUCGUUUAGCGACCUUUGACCCGUGCGGUGACCCGACCCGAGGAAAGGAUCUGCGCGUUUUGGGUCUGAUGGGUUUAUUGCGCAACAAGCCCUUCCGCAUUUGUUUUUCGUUUCAAUUCGGUUUUUAUUUGUUUUUUAAUUGUUUUCUCAUAUUUAGUUCCAAUUUCAAUUGGGUCCAUGAUUAAACGACAUCGUUUUCAUUGAUUGGGUUUGAAGGCCUGGUUUUGUGCGUCUAAAUUGCAGCAAUGGUCCCCCUGAUGUGCAAUAGUUCUCGAUUUAGUCGUCUCCACACUUAUUUCAAAGUCGUCCUUGAGAUUUUGUUUUAUUUUUGAAAUUGUCCUUGUCUUCUUUUAAUUUAUAAUGAUAUUAUUAUUAUUGUUGUUGUUAUUAUUACUAUUAAUAUGGGUAUUGUUAUCAUGUUAGUUUAUAUCUAUUUAUUUACUUUUAUUUUAUUAUGUAUUAUUAUAUAAUGCUUUUAUCAUGUAUCAUUUUAUAUAUUUUCUAUGUUAAUCUAAUAUGAUAUAUAUAUAUAUAUGUAUUUUUGUGAUCUUAUUUUAUAAUACUUUUUUAACCCAUUUAUAUGCCUUUAUGUUUUAAAGAUUUAUAAUAUUUUGUGCAAAACUAUUAUAUAUAUAUAUAGAUAUACAAUUUAUAUUAGACCAUUUUUAUCGUACAUAUACGUAUAUAUAAUUUAUAUUUUGAAACUCUAUUUUAUUAUAUUUUAUGCCUCUAUAUACAUCAUUAUAUGUUUAUUAUUCUUUAUAUUAAACCUGCCAUUUCACUUAUAUAUUUUUAAAACCAAUGUGUAUUAUUCUUUCUUCUUUGUUAUUUUUUAUCUCUUAAAAUAGAUUGAUAAUUCAUUUAAUUUUUGAAUGUUGUAUGACCGAGAUUAUCGUUGCCAUUCUUGUCCAAAUUUAUCCAUUGCUUGUUCAUAUUAUUUGAUAAUUUAUCGCUCACUAGCAUGUAUCGUAAUUUACGAAUUAUCAUUUUGAAUUAUGUACUACCAUUCAAUCGCAUUACAUUUGUUUGGAAAACAUCGAAAUCGUUUUGCACAUAAACCUUCAAAAUGCUUGGUAUCCAAAAUUCUCGAGAGGAUUGUGCCCUAAUUUAUUGGGCUUCAAUUCCCCUUUUUGAUUUUAAAUAACCGAAUACCCCUUUUUCAAUUUGAACAUAGAAAUUCCAAAAUAAAAAAAAACUCAUUCUCGGGAAUUUGAUGCGUUGUGUCCUAACGUAUUGUAUAUGACAUAUUUUUCUCGAGACGAGGAUUUUUCUAACAAAUAAAAAUAAAGGCAAUAUUCGAUAUUUAGGAAUUUUGUGAAAUCGAACCCUAACUUACUGGGUUUUGAUUUUUUCAUUUGACCCAAGUAGGAUAUCCUUCACAAAUGCACAGAUUUUAAAAAAUCAAAAGAUAAACUUAAUUUCGAGGAUUUAAAAUGUUACACUCUGACUUACUGAGUGUGUCAAUUUAUUUCUUUGAAAUAAGUGAGUCUUAUCAUCCAAUUUAUUUUAUUCAAAUUUUCUUUUCCAAGGAUCGUAUUUUAAAAUUUUUUCAAAAUUUCGACAUUAAGACAUUAAGCAAUCAAUUCAGUACCAAUUUUGGGCGUCACGAGGGUGCUAACUCUUCCUCGUGCGUAAUCGACUCCCGAACCAGUUUUCUCAAAAUUCACAGACCUAAAAUUAUUUUCAAGGUGAUCCGAUCACACCACAAUAAAAGAUCAGUGGUGACUCCCAUUCCUAUUUUUAAAAGUCGAUUCCUGUUUUUCAUAUAUAAAAAAAUGGUUUCGACACUACGGUUUUGUUUGUUUCCCUUAGAACAACUUUCAAAAAGUUAAUUUUGAAAAAUGGAUUGAAUUUUCAAAAUAGAUGAUAUUUUUUUGUGUUAAAAUUUUAUUCGUUGUUUGAAAAAAAAAUUUAAAUCAUUUUCUUAGAAUUAUUUUUAGUGAAACAAAUAUAUCAUAAAUAUAUUUGUUAUAAAAUAUUAUAUUAAUAUUUUCUUUUAACAAUUAAAAUAUAUUUUGUGAUAAGGUAAUAUUUUAUAAUAAUUAAUAUCAUAUAUACUUAAUAAUAAAUCAUGUCUAAUUAAAAUUUAAUUUCAAUUAAAUAUAUUAAUAAAGCUACAUUUAAUCAUAUUUUAUAUAAUUAAAAUAUUAAUAUAAAUAUUUUUCAAUAAUAUAUUAAAGAAUAUUUAAAAUUUAAAUUUAUUAUUACUAAGAUUAAUUAUUAAAACAAAAAUGUAAUAUUAAAUAAUUUAUCCAAUGAUAAGUUAUAUUAAUAAUUUAUUAUAUUAUUAAAUAUAAAUAAUUAAAUAUGUAUGUUUAAUAAUAUUAUGUUAUAAUAUUUAUUACUAAUAUUUUAAUAUUUUUAAACAACCAUGUUUUAAAGAUGGUGGUGAUGGUGAUGGUGCAGGCCCCCUUGUUAAAAUUACAAUAUUUUUAAGUGGGAUGCAUGUAAUAUAUUGUUAGGGUUUUAGAGUAUGUGGUCUUUAAAAGGGUUAAAUUAUAUAUUUAUAUAAUAUGAUUAUUGUUUAUAAACAUAAUAUUGUAGAUAAGUUUAUAUGUAUGUCAAUAUGUAUCCUACUCUAAGGUUAAUAUGUAUUUUUUAGAUGUGGGUUUACCUAUAUAAUAGUAUGAAUCCAUCAUGUGGUCUCAUGAAAUAUACAAACACAUAUCGUGCGAACACAAAGUACGAACAAUAAAAAAUACAAAUCAAGACCCAAUUGAAUAAUUGAAUAACGGAUAGGUAAUAAUGAAUAUCAUAACAUUUACUAUCCCCUCUUUUCUAGUGAGUUAUUGUUUAUGAUAAAUUUGCAACAAAUGUUUUUAUCAUUAUUUUGUUGGUAAAUGAUAAUAAGAUUAAACAUUACUUUCUUAAGCUCCUUCAAUUCUUUGGACGUUAGCGAGUAAACUUGAGCUUCAGCAUUCCACAAACACCUUAAUUUGAAGACACAGUUCUCUCAUACUAAAAACGACAUGGACGUUUACCUUGUAAUUAGAGAUUUGGGCUCAUUGUUGGGUUAUUAAUGAUACGGGGAUGGAGAGCUUUAAACUGGGUAUGGUUGGCCCCAAAGAGGCUCGAAACGUGCUUGAGACUAGAGGUGAUCAAGGGCCGGGUUAGGCCCAGUCUAGAAAAAAAAUUAGGCCCAUUUUUUAGAUUUGAACUCGGCUCGGCUCAAAAUAUAAGCUUAAAAAUUUGUCUAAGUUCAGUCCGAAAGAAAAUUGUUAAGCCCAAGCUCGACCCAUAUUAAAUUUUACAACACCAAAAAAGUAUAUUUAAAUAAAAAUAAAAUAUAUAUAUUUAAUAUAUAAUUCGGGCCGAGCUGAACUCGGGCCAAAAAAGUUUUACUCGGGGCUGGUCCGUUUUCUAAACAGACUUCGUUUUUUUUGCCAAAAUCCAUAUUUUUACCCGAAUCUUCCUAUUUUUUGGGGUGUGCCGUCGGGCCGAACUGGGUAACCGAACCAAUGAUCACCUCUGUAAUCACUGAAUUUUGUCCGGGAAUAACUUUCGUUAAAAAAAUUUUAAAAUUAAAAAAAAAUUAACUUUUUUGCUUUUUGACCCCUAAACUUUUCUAAAAUUUCAUUUUAACCCCUAAACUUUCUCAAAAUUACAGUUCAACCCCUAAACUUUUCUAAAUUACAUUUUGACCCCUAAAAUUUCUUAAAAUUACAUUUGGACCCUUACACUUUCUCAAAAUUACGUUUCGGCCCCAAAAUUUUUGCUACAUUUACAAAUUGGUCCUUCUGUCAGAAAAUCCCCAAUAAUCCGGCGGAUUUCGUGCACCUGCCCCACUAUUUCCGGCAGCCGGCCUAGGGCAUGGCCUUCCCCACCUGCUACCUGCAAACAAGAAGCAAAAUCAACUAUAAAAAGGAGUUUAAACUCCAAAAAUCGGACCCCCACCCACGAAAAAAAUAAAAAAAAAAAACUUGAAAGAAAAAGAAAAAAGCUUUGAGAAAGAAAAAGAAAAGGAAAAGAAGAGAGGGGAGAAGGAGAGGCCGACCAUCGGCGAGCCACCGGAGGAGGCGACGGCAGCAGCGGCAUCGACGGCGGCGUAGAAGACCGAACGGAGAAGAAGAAGAAGAAGAAAAAAAAAGAAAGAAGAGAAAGAAAGAAGGAAGAAGAAGAAGAAAGAAACAAAAAAAAAAGAAAAUAUUUUGUAAUAGUCGGCCCGGCCCGACUCGACCUGCACGACCCGUGACCCGACCCGACAGCACCAGCAACCUAGCAGGCCACGGUAGCAGCCCGGCGGCCCAAAGAGUAGCCCAAAAAGAAAAAAAGAAGAAGAACAAAGCAAAAAAAAAAAGCAGGCCAUUUUCAGCAGGCCCAGUGCAGCCCAGCAGACCCAGCGAACCCAGCAGGCCAGGCCCACACGCAAGCAGCCCAACAGAAAAAAAGGGAAAGAAAAAGAAAAGAAAAAAGAAAAAAGAAAAAAGAAGAAGAAGGGGUUCAAUUUGUAUUAUCCGUUCGGCGAAGCUCGUGUUUUGAGGAUUUUUUUUCGGUAAUUUUAUUUUUUAAUUUUAAUUUAAUGCUCGUAUUUUUUUUAAAUAUUAUUAGUAUUUUAUGCAUUUUUAUAUUUUGGCAUUUAUAUUUUUAAUUUAAUUUACUUCAAUUUUUAUUUUAUUUUAUUUUAAAUAAUUUUAAUAAAUGAGGCAACGAAUCGAUUUAACAUAAAAUCGUUGAUUUCAUUGCUAUGUUGGGUGAAUAUCAUCGGUUUGUGUUAAACACGAUACACCCUUUUUAAAAAAAAGAAAAAAAUCGAAAAAAUUCUAAAAUUCUCAUUUUUUUAAAAUUCUCGUGUUUUAAUAGAAUCACGAUUAAAUAUUAAGUUGAAUCGAUUUGGCACUAAUUCGAUGAUUUCAUCUCCAUGUAGGGAUGAAUAUCAUUUAUUCGUGUUAAAUAUGGUACUUCUGAAAAAAAAUCGGGUUUCAAAAAUUUUCGUGUUUUCAAAAAUUCUCAUGUUUCAAAAAUCUUCGUGUUUUAAAAAUUCCAGUGUUUCAAAAAUUUUCGUGUUUUCAAAAAAAAAUUUCUCGUGUUUUUAAAAAUUCCCGUAUAUCGAAAUUUUCUUGUUUUCAAAAAAAAAAUUCCAUGUUUCAUAAAUUUCCGUGUUUUCAAAAAAAAAUUCUUGUUUUUCAAAAAUUUUCGUUUUUAAAAAAUUUGACCGUGUUUCAUAAAUUUUCGUAUUUCAAAAAAACCUCGUGUUUCAAAAUUUUCGGGUUUUUUUAAAAACAAUUCGUGUUUCUAAAAUUCUCGUAUUUUAAAAAAAAUCGUGUUUUCAAAAAAAGAAAAAGUUGUUGUGCUUUAAAAUUAUCGUGUUUCAAUCGGAUCACGAUUAAUAUUAAAUUGAACUCGUAUUUUUGAAAAUGAAAACAACGCGCGUUUAACGAGAUACCAAUUUUGGGCGUCGCGAGGGUGCUAAUACCUUCCUCGCGCGUAACCGACUCCCGAACCUUAAUUUUCUCUGAAUUUUUACGUGGACCUAAAAUUACCUCUUUUUAGAAAAGUUUAAAAAUGAAUUUUUCUUCUAAAAAGAGAAUUUUGUAGGUGUCCGAUCACACCUAAAAAAAGAUCGGUGGCGACUCCUUUUUUUCAAAUAAAAUCGAGAUUCAGUUUUCAAGUUUUUAAUAAUUACUUCGACAAGCGCCCGUGCGCAAAAUUUUUAAGUCGCUACAGCCUCUACUUGAGACAACAGGGUUUUGCAGGGAAUUCUUACAGGUUCGUUUCUGGCGACAAAAAAGAGCUCUUCACUAUAAGCAUACAAACAAGAGCCAAAACUAUGCCUCUUAGUGAUGAUAUUAGGCCUUAUGUUAUUCCUUUUCAACAUCAAACCGUCAACCGGUAUGGUAUGUUUUUUUUAUUUAAUCUGCAAUUUGUGAUAAUUCUUUGUUAUUUAUGUAUGGAAUUUAUUGGGAGGAAAUGCUGGAAAGAAUUCAUUUACGAGAAUUGGUCCAAGAUCAAGGGUGAACAUUACGGACCCUGAAAAAUAAGAGAAAUACUUAACAAAUUUAAUGACUUCCAGAAGAUACGUACCAAUCCACUGCUUAAUUUGCUUGUAAGCGGCCUUGUUAACCUCGAAGGAGACCGAUGGAGCAAGCAUAGAAAAAUCAUAACCCUUGCAUUUCAUCAAGAUAAGUUGAAGGUAUAGAAUAGUAAUGGGUACUCAAGACUUUAAAGAAAACAUCAUACUUAAGCCUAUGCUUUUCUGAUUUAGAAAUAAUUGGAUGCAGAAUAUGUUGCCAGCAUUUUAUCAAAGUUGUAGUGACAUGUUUAAGCAAAUGGGAGAAGAUGGUGUGUACAGAAGGAUACAUUGAGUUAGAUGUGUCGCCUUAUCUCGUAGAUUUGACAAGAGAUGUUAUUUCCCGAUCUGCUUUUGGAAGCAGCUUCGAAGAAGGCAAACGAAUUUUCCAAUUACUAGAGGACCAACUCGUUCUCACAAUCAAAUUAAUACAAACUGUUUACAUUCCAGGAUGGAGGUAACCGUCUACUUUAAUUUACUUGAAAAAGGUUGCAAAUGUUGGAAUUGGCUAAAUUCGUGUUUGUUUUCUUGAAGGUUUUUGCCCACAAAGACAAACAGGGAGGUGAAGAUGAAACACAAAGACAUAAAAGAGUCGCUCAGGGAAAUGAUAAAAAGAAGAAAGCAGGCAAUUAAAGCAGGGGAAGAGAGUAAUGAGGACUUGUUGGACAUACUUGUGGAAUCCAAUAUCAGAGAAAUGGAAGCAAAGAAUAUGGGGAUGAGCAUUGAGGAUGUGAUUGAGGAAUGCAAGCUGUUUUACUUAGCUGGCCAGGAGACCACUUCGGUCUUACUGGUGUGGACUAUGGUUUUAUUAGCAAGGUAUCCCGAUUGGCAAAGUAAAGCAAGAGAGGAGGUUUUGCAUGUUUUGGGUGACAGUAAACCUGAUGCUGAUGGCCUUAAUCGUCUCAAAGUUGUAAGUCCCUAGCAUGUCUCUUGAAGGCCCGAUCUCUGAGGUCGACAACUCAAAAACUUGGUUCUUUGUUUCGCUAAUUCUACAGUUAACAAUGAUAUUGUACGAGGUUCUAAGGCUGUACCCACCAGUGAUUGAGCUAGGACGUUCCGUUCCAAAAGAAAUAAAACUGGGAAAUUUGUUGUUACCAGCAGGAACAGACGUUUCGGUUCCAAUCCUGCAGAUCCACCAUGACAAAGAUCUUUGGGGCGACGCCGCACGGGAAUUUAAGCCACAGCGGUUCACGGAAGGGGUUUCCUAAGCAACAAAGAGUCAAGUCACGUUUCUGCCAUUCGGAUGGGGUCCUAGGAUCUGCAUUGGCCAAAACUUUGCCAUGAUGGAAGCUAAAAUGGCGAUGGCUAUGAUUCUCCAACGCUUCUGGUUUGAGCUUUCCCCUUCCUAUGCUUACUCUCCUUACAACAUGGCAACUCUUCGUCCACAGCAUGGUGCACAGAUAAUUUUACAUAAACUUGGCUGUAAUUGAAUUGUUAUGUAAGCAAAUCUUUGUGAAAAUAUAGUGUUUUAGUGUAUCGUCAACGUCUGUCUGUAAUGGUACAAUUCCGAUGCAUGAAUAGUAAAUUUUGAGAUGUUUGGUGAAGUCCGAAAUAAUAUGCAGAAAUUGAGUGUCUAUGGUGGACAUAGUUGAGGGACUAAUGUGGUAAUUAUCAAUCAAAUAAUUCGGUACAAAGACUUAUAUGGAAAUUAAAGCAGGGGGAGUUGAAAAUGACUACUCUGCUUUGGGCAUCAAUUUAGAAAGAUUUAAAGUACAAAUGUGUUAUUAGUUAAGGGAUUUGUUUUAAAGAGGGAAUGACAAUUAAACCUCAUGGUUGAUUUGUGGAAGGGAACCAAUGAUGGGAUGAUUACUCUUAGUGGUGAAAAAAAAACUAUUAAGGUGGUUAUUAUAGUUGUUAUCACCAGCCUAAAAUUUGAAUAGGUUCAGGUCGGAUUAUAUUGAGCUUGCAAGAUUAGUUCACGGACCAAACUUGCAUGAUAAUAGGUAUUCACAACAAGAUAUCUAUAGUUUCCAACAAAGUCACAUGUGAGAUCGUGCAUUAGAACCGCAUAAACAUGUUUUAUGUUUAGAAUAUGAUAUGUGUCUAUGUGUAUAGAAUCUACCUAAUAUAUCAUAUUAAUGAAUAGUAUCAAUUGCGGAGCCAAAAAAUUAUUUGUGAGGGGUCAGAAUUAAAUUGUAUAUUUUUACAAAAAUAAAAAUUAAAUUUCACUAUUUUAAUAGUUUAUUUAUUUUUAAUUUUUAAAUGAUUAAAUUAAAUUUUAUAAAUUUUUAGGAUCAAAGUAUAAUUUUAUCAUUACUAAUUUAAAAUUUUAUAAAUUAUAAAAAGUUUAUAUGAAAAGUUUUCUAUUUUAGGGUGGCCAAAGCCCCUGUCAACUUCUGACUCGAUCACUUGCGGUUAGUUGGGUAAAGACUCAAGAAAAAUAGCGGUGUGUUUGGAUGGACGGUGCGUUUACUUGCGGUUAGUGUAAAAAUAGCGGUGGCGGUGAGAUUAGAUACUAUAGCAACACUGUAGCGUGAGACAAAAAGUAAGUUAAACGCACUGCACUGCACUUAAUCGUCUAUCUAAACUCACCAUAAGUGUCUAAAAUAUGAUUUAAGUGAAGAUACGUGGGGUAGGUGUCAUGGAAAUGUAAAAAAAAAAAAGAAUCCUACUAAUGUAUGGGAUGUGUACAAUUGAAUGCAGGAGUGAAUCAUUUGGGUAACAUUUGGACAAGAAACAUAAUGAACAAAAUGAAAGGAGAGGAAGCUAGUAAUAAAAGAUUCUUUUGGGUUAUAUAAUUUGUUUGGCAUAUAUUUUUAUAAUAUUUAAAUAUCAUUUUGGAGUUGUUGAAUUAUAAUUUAUUUUUAUGUUUUAAAACAUAAUUAUUCUAUUUUUAGAGGUCAGAGUAGAGGUGAGCAUGAGUCGGGCUACUCGGCUCGGGCUGAAGGCUUGCGCAAAAUGUGAGAGAUUUGGGUAAAAAUAUAGGCCCGAAAAAUGAGUUUAGACAAAAAAAAAUAUAAGGCCCGUUGAAAAAACAGGCUAGGCCUUGGGUAAGGCAUUUUGGCCCCAGACCCGGCCCAACCCAAAUUCACUAAGGGCACGUUUGGUUCGCUGUAUUGGAAUAGAGGCGUAAUGUAAUAGAGGCGUAAUGGAAUAGAGACGUAAUAGCAAAUCAAUUGUUUGGUUGAAUGUAAUGGAAUAGAGGCGUAAUAGUAUUCUUAUAUUUGGUUGAAUGGAAUAGAGUUGUAAUAGCAUAAGGAAAAAAGUUAAAAUGACUAGAAUACCCUUAGCAGAAAUUUGUUUAGAUAAAUGAUUAUUGUUAUUGUUAUUAAAUUUUAAUAAGAUUAUUAAUAUCAGUAAUAAAUAAUUUAAUCAUAUUUUAACAUAAUUAUUAUUAAAUAUAAUUUAAUAAAAAUAUAUAAUUUAAUAAAAUUCUUAAUAUUAAAUAUUCUUAAUAUUAAAUUACUAAAAUCAUAAUAUAUAAUACUAUAAAAUAUAAUUUAACAUAAUUAUUAUUAAAUAUAAUUUAAUAAAAUUCUCAAUAUUAAAUAUAUUCUUAUAUGAAUUUACUAAAAUCAUAAUAUAUAAUACUAUAAAAUAUAAUUUAAAAUAAUUAUUAUUAAAUAUAAUUUAAUAAAAAUAUAUAAUUUAAUCUAAAGUUUGAAUGUGUAUUUACCUAGCAAAAAUCAAUGAACUCUCGUGUAACUAUAACCUUAAUAAUAUAUGAUGUAUAAUUAAUAUUUCGUGACUAAUUAAUAGCAUAGAGAUAAAUAUAGUAAUGACGAAUUUAUAGUAUACGAUUAAAAUGCUAAUAAUUUAUAGUAUACAAUUAAAAUAUUAUAAAUAAAAUAAUAGUAAAUGAUAUAUAAGAUAAAUUAACAUAUAAAUAAUUCAGAUAUGUAAAGGAUAUGGCUGAAUAUGGUUGCUCCAAUAAUAAAGGAUAUAUAAUAUAUCAUGGUGUUGUUUUGUUUAGAUAGUUCGGUAACUUAGGAGGGUAUGUAUGAAGAACACAAGUUGAUGCAGAUAGAAAGACGACAAUAUUACAUGAUUACAAUAUGAUAUAGUAUAUAUAUAUAAUUUAUGGAUUCCUUGCAAUCACGUGGGUUCUCUAGCCAUUUUAUUUAGCAUAUCCAGUGAUAUUAAGAUCCAGAAUUAUAAUACAACUAAAAUCUGUGCACACUUAUGGAUGAUCCAACAAAGCCUCAGUUGGCUUUAGGUUCCAAAUCUUGCAACCCACAAACCAUAUUUGCUGGCACUGCAACAUCAAUCAUCUUAGGAUAUGCCAAGUUAAGAUCUGUUGCACCAACAAAAACAGAGGAGAAAUUGGAAGGCGAUCCGAAAAAACCCAAGGAUGCUUUUUCUUUUCUUUUUUUUUUAUAAUCUUUAUAGACUGGUUAUAUUGAGCAUCAACUUACUUUCCAUGAUGUUUUUGAAAGUCUCUUACAAAAAGGGUAUUCAACAAAUAAUAUAAUCAGACAUAUUGAUAGGACAAAUUGAAACUAGUAUUCUAUGAUCAUAAUAAAGAGUAAUCUUUAAUCAAAUGCGUGAAGGUAUUGAGAUGUCAUGCUUUUUCAUGAUUUCCUGUUUUACCAUGGCGAUGUUCAUUGGAAUAGUCCCAUCCAAGAGAAUCAAACCAAUGCUCAGCAAGAAAUGUUCAAUGCAUAUGUAAUUUUAAUUACAGAAGUUAUAUGCAGCUUAUAUGAGUUCAAGAUCAUAAAAUACUUCAUGGACAAAAGGAAACCCUUUCUUAUCACUGAAAUGAAAAUAGGCACUCUUAAUUUUCUAUUGUCAAAAGUAGCAAGCCAUUUUCCAAAGAAAAGGGAAGAUGGAUGGUUCCAGAAAGAAUACCUCAUCCUUUGUCAAGUGUGGAUUAUAUAGCAUCUCCUCUCCCACAGUGGUUACCUAUAAUCAAUGAGGUUUAUAAAAUCGAGCAAUCAUUUAUAUAUGUAAGAAAUGAUAGGAAUAAAGUUUUAUAUCUUACUGAGAAUCCUUUGUAGUCAUGAGCUGGAUAUAGCAAUGUCUCUUUCGGUAAUGUAAAAAUCUGGAUCCAUGAAACAAAUAAGUCCAUAAAUUUUAUUCAAAUUUUGACAAUUACAAUAAAAUUUUGAGAACUCAAAGAAUGUGACCAUAAAAAGUCCCCUGUCCUUACCUGUGAAUGCACUGACUUGUAGAGUUGCUGUGAACUUCCACCCUGCAAAAUGCAUUAAUCAGUGCUAGUCAAUGGCUACUGAAUGUGGGAGCAUUAGAGAAAAUUAUCUUAAAAACUUAAGUAUAACAAAAUUAGACAAUGACAUCCAGAUGGAAAGAAAUUGCCAGCAUAUAAGACCAGCAUUUAUGUACUCACGACUGAAAAUCCUUUGCAAAAAGUAUAGCCCUGAUAGUUCAAACUUUUACUUCAAGGAUGAUUUAAUUACUGAUUAGUUUGCCAUGAGGCUUGUGAAUGACAAACACUUUAUGUGCAACCACAGUAACAAGGUAAGCACCAAUAAGUAGAAGACUAGACGAAUAGGUAACCAAGAGUUAGAGCUAAAACAGACAAACAGAGCUACUAUCCAAUGAGCUAAAACAUACAAACAGAGGUAUAUUUUAAUAAUGAAAAUAAUCGAUUGCCUUAAACACCAUAUAGUGUUCCAAUCAAUCAAAUUAUAGCAGGCAUUAAAACCUUUCCCUUUCGUUAAUUCACAACUAUUAGCUUCAUUAAUCAAAUCCUAUGUACAGUUGAUCGAUUGAAAGUGUAACAUUUCAAAGACGAAAUUUAAACGCAAAACUGGUUAACAUUGAAAUUACAUGUAAAUAUAACCUAAAAAAUCAAAAAAUUAAUCAUAUUUUCAGAUUUCAGGCCGAAAUGGAAUGAAAUGAAAGGUAAAUCCAUUUUUUCCCCAAAAAAACAAAAAUAAAGAAAUAAUAUUUCAAGAACAGAUCAUUAAAUUCAUGGUAUAUAUAAAGAAAUUUAAUUGAAAUCAAAGGAAUAGAAGAAGGGAAAAGCGUACUUGGAACCAUUGCUGCUACUCUCUGUUACUCUGUUACCUCAUACGAUUCGUUAAAGGGUUGUUAGGGUUUGUUAAAAGGUUGGUCAGGAUAGAAGCAUGAAAAGGAGGGAGAAGGUUGGAAGGAAAUGGGAAGAAAAAUGAAAAAAAGAAGAAGAUGCUGCAACGGCUUGGAGGGUAAAAGAGGACCGAUUAGGUAAUCCUUUCUUUUGGAAGGGAUUACAAAUCGGCGCUGCAUAAGGGAAAAUGGGGAAUCAGUGCGCUGCGUAAUAGGCCCGUAUUAAGGCAAUACAGCCAACCAAACAUGGUAAUCAGUGGGGCCACGAAUUAGGGGUGUAUUGGCUAAUCCAAUACACCCAACCAAACAUGCUCUAAAGGACAAAAAAAUUUGAUUUUUUAAAUAUUAUUUUCUCUCUAUUUUGCUAUCAUUUUACUAUUAUGUUGCUACUAUGUUAUUGUUAUUUUUGAAUAUUGUAUAAAACUUAUUUUAUUGUUAAUUUUGUUAUUAUUUUAAAGACAUUUGUUAAUUUUGUUAUUAUUUUAGAGACAUUUGUUUGUUAAGUUGCAUCUAUCUUAGUGUUAUUUAAGUAUACAUAUUUUUUAAAAUUUAUUUUCAAUUUAUUGGGAAAUAUUUAUUUUGAUGUUUUUAGUAUUUUGGAUGUAUUAUAUAUAUUAAAAUUAUAUAAAAAUUAAUAUGGCCGAGCCAGGUCAGGCCCAGAUUUUAGCAUUUUUAUUCAGGUCGGGCUUGAGCAAAAUUUUAAGCCCAUUUUUUGGGCCAAACCAGGCCUGGGCUUAGCAAAUGGGCCUAAAUUUUUAGUCAAGCUCGACCUAAACCCGAUCCGGCCCAUGCUCACCUCUAGAUCAGAGCUGCCCUCGCUUUGCAUUUCUUUGAGAUUCAGUCUUAUCUACUGUUGAUUGCCCACUCAAUGGAGGGUUGAGUAGAAAGAUUUGGUGAAGCAAGCUAAGCUAUCAAUCAAGGUUGGAGAAAGCUUAGGAGGUCACAAUGCAUAAUUAUUUAAAUGUAAUUCUAAUAUUUAAAUAAAAUUUAUUAAUAUAGUAUUAACAAGCCCUAAAUGUAAUGAUUAUAUACUAUUACAUUUUUAAGAAGAGAAAACAUGUUUGAACCUUAAAAACAUCAUUAUUAAAAAUGAUAAUUACAAAUUUUAAAAUAUAAAAAAUAUAAUUAAAAAUUAAUUUUAAACCCGAGCUGGAUAAAAUUCUAAUUUUAGAUAACGAUACUAAUAAGAAAUCAAUAUUAAAAUGAAAAUGAAAAGUAAUUUAAUAUAAUUUUUGAGUCUUGGGCAAAGGCACUCAAUGAAUGCUUGGAAAGAAAUAAUGCAACUUGGUGAUAGCUUUUGUUGGAGUAAUAUGCUCUUAUUAUAGUUUUAUGUUUUUAUCUUGCAAAAACAACAUAUUGGAGUUUUCGGCAUGAUUUUUUCUUAAUACUUUACAUGAAAAAUAAUAAUGGGACUUAAAUUGCUACAAUAUUACAACACAAAGUUACAAUAAGAGCUUAUAACUCAACAAAGGCUAUCAAUAAAUAAUCUCAGGCAAGCUAAAGAGAAAUGUUGAGAAUACCACCCGAAUAGUGACUGACUUUAAAAGUUGAAAACCCGAAGCUAUAUUAUCUCAAACGAAAUCAAACCAUAAACAUUAAAAUUUUCAAGUCUACUAGUUACUGUAAAAAAUUCAGCUCCAACAGACACCAAAUGAGCCUUUGAUCGAAGAAAGUACGAAAAAUAGUCUAGGUAAACCAAGCUUCCAAACUUACUUAUCUUAUCUUUAAUUUGCAGUGAAAUUCAAAAUUAAGAUUUUGUUUAUUUCACUUGGAACAACUUUCAAAAAAUUAUUUUUGAAAAAUGAAUUGGUUUUUCGAAAUAGAUGAUAUUUUAUUGUGUCAAAAUUUUAUUCAUUGUAGGAAAACUUUUUUUAAAUCAUUUUCUUAGAGUUAUUUUUAGUUAAAUAAACAUAACAUAAAUAUAUUUGUUACAAAAAAUUAUACUAGUAUUUUCUUUUGACAAUUAAAAUUUAUUUUAUGGUAAGACAAUAUUUUAUAAUAAUUAAUAUCAUAUAUAUACGUAAUAAAAAUCAUGUUUAAUUAAAAUUUAAUUAAAAUUAGAUGUAUUAAUAAAGCUACUCCUCCACAACCCGCAUCCGCAACAGCACCAGCACCAGCACCAGCACCAGCAUCAGCACCAUGGGACAACUAUUGGGUUUCCUCCACCUGCCUCUAUCGCUCCUCCUCAGUAUUACCCCCAAGCCUACCAGACCGUGCCGGGUAUUCUACAAAUAUGAAAAAACCUUCUUCUCUUUUUAUUAGCUUAUCGAAAUGAAGGAUUUUGAGAUUUGGGCUUUUGUUAGAUGGAUGGUUAAUGAUAUUUUUUAGAUGAAAGAUACAAGUUUUUUAAUGUUUUAGAAGAAAAGGUGUUUAAAUAUUAGGAGUUUUUUAGCAGAGAAAGAAGAUAAAUAAAUGCAUAGAGAUACAUUAGCAAUAUUAUUUGGAUUUGGUUGUCUAAUGUAAUGAAGAAUUUUUUAAGGGUGACCUGAGUAGGUGUGGCAAGAUUCAAAGUUUUUUCUAUUAUAGCAGAUAUAUAUAUAUUAAUGGUUUAAGAAGACUAGAAGUCGGUUUCAAAGGAAGAUGAGAAAUAAAAGCAUUUAUAUAUAUGAUAUGUCAUUAAUUCAUAAACCAAAUAUAUAAAGUAUGUAAAAGUGUCAGGGGUUAAUCAUGGUGUUUUGACAAUCCGGUAACCUUCAACUUGAAGAAAACCUUAGGUUUCAAAAAUUUAUGUGAAGAGUUAGAAUGGUAUGCUUCAUGGAUCUGAAUAACUAGAACAGUGUAAGAGUGGUAUAUUGUGUCAAGUUUGGUUUCUUGUAUAUAAUUGUAUCGAAAACAAUGUUACAUGAGUUAAAAUGAAUGUUCAUCCAAUUUAACAAAGCCUGCAUUAUGUUGAUCAAAAUUUUUAAUUCAUGUUGAGGUUUCUUCCGUGAUAUCUUUGAUGUCAAGGUUAUGAUGUUGCUGAAGGGACACCUGUAAGAGAUAAGCCACCGUGCUGUGGCAUUGGAUUCGGAUGGUUCUUGUAAGUGUACAUAGUUUUCUUUGUUUUUAAAGAGUUCUUUACAUAUGAAGUAAAACAAGUAGCGACUUGAUGGAUAUGUCAUUAAGCUUUAACUUAAGCAAAUCAUUUUCCUUCAUCUCUAAUUGCCAUUUCUUUAAAAGAAAAAGAGGAAGUUUUGUAGUUUACAGUUUGGACAAAUGGAAGUUAAUAUAAUGCACUAUUUGGAUGGACUAUGGAGAUAUCCAAUCAUAUUGGAUGAGUUAUAAGAAACCUGUGAGUUCAUAUUGGGUUUACUUUAUAUCAUAAUUAGAUUGUUGAGCUGGCUGUCAUACUUAGAUGGUAUUUCACGUUGCUACUUGUUAAACUAUACCACUUUCACAUUCAUACGUGAAAUGGCUGGGAUUUAGUGCCAUUCUACUUAGCAGCCUCGUGUAAUACACAGGUGAAAUGUUUAUGUCUUCAUGUCACCUUAAAGUUCCCAUUUCCAUGACGGUAUUGUUAAGUAAAGACUGGUACAUACCCCAAAAUACGGAAAUUGUUUUGGAUGUAUACUAUACUUUACCAUGCAUGAUUUUUUACAAGUUUGCAUGGUAUUUUAUCAUUAUAUUGGUCUUUAUUUUCUAUACUCGCAGCUUCCAUUAAUAUAUUUUUAUGAAUUUUAUCAUUAUGCUGGUUUGAAGGUUCAUCAUUGGUUUCUUCAUUGGGGGCCAUCCCUGGUAUAUUGGAUUCUUUGUUUUACUUUGUGCAAGGAUAGACGACAGAGAGAAAGCAGGAUAUAUUGCAUGCACAAUUGCCGUGAGUAUCUUUUCUAUCAUUAUUUUUUUCUUUUCCAAUUUUAUGAAAGCCAUCCUUCCUGCCUUGUAUUGAUCAUCAAUUUAACCAUUAUAUAUAUGUAUCUUAUGUAUUUGUACCAUGCUUUAUCUUCAAUGCAAAUAUAAGUUAAACUACAAAGAUUGGAUUGUUAAAAAAAGUUUAAAAUGUUAAAAAAAUUGAAAAUUUUGAUUUUGUAAGAAUGAUAGAAAACCAAGGCCAGUGCUUGCAUAUGUUAUCUACUACAUGCACAAUCGGGUCGAUGUCUGUAUAUGUUUCAUGUUUAGAAAUCGUGUUCAAUUGGGUUACGAUAUGUACAAUUGAAGUGUCAAUUUAUAAUUUCCUUAUCAAGAUUACACAUUUUUUUGUUAAUAUUCGGAAUCACUCAAUGGUUAUAAACCCUGAUUGGAUACUGUCCACAAAGUCUAGUUGGAACAUCCCUUGUAUUCUUUGUCCUUUCUAAGAACUUUCCUUUCCAUCAUUCUCGCUUCUGUUUUUUUUUUCUUCCCUCUACUUUAAGUCAUUAUCUAACGUAGAUAUCCCUUGUAUUCUUUGUCCUUUCUAUGGCAAUCGAGUCAAUUGAUGGCAAGCCAAAAAAACAAAAAGAGCAGCUAUCCUGUCUUACUCGAUUGCCAUCCCUCCUGUUAAACACCAUUAAGAAAAGGAAAAUUUUAGUUAAGCUUUAAAACAGCCAUGUUUUAACGAUGUUGGUGAUGGUGCUUGUGCAGGCCCUUCUUGCUACAAUUACAAUUAUUCUUAGUGCAACAAUUAAAGCUGGUGGGUGAUAAAGCACACCUCUUUUGACUGAGAGAUGUAUAGGUUCCCAAAUAAUAUGUAUAUGCUCCCCCCCCUCCCUUUAUUUUAUUUUAUUUCCAGUAAGUUAUUGUUUAUGAUAAUUUGCAACAAAUGUUUUUGUCAUUAUUUUGUUGGUGAAUGAUAAUAAGAUUAAGCUUUACUUUCUUAAGCUCCAAUUCCUUGGACGUUGGUGAUUUUUUUAUUAUAGUUGAGUCAUUGUAUGGUAUUAAUAUAAUUUAUGUCGCUUAAAAUUUAUAACUAAAAAUAUAAAAUUUAAAUUUUACUUCAAUUUAUUUGUAUUUAUAAAUGGUUAAUUCAAACUUAUUUUUUUCCUCAUUAUAUUUUAUAUUUAAAUUAACAUUUAAACUAUUUUUCAUUAGCAAUGUUGUUAAGAAUUAUAUUUUUUAGCACCAACAUCAAACUUACUAAAAUUAAAUUUUUAACUAUUUAAAAAAAAUAUUUUUAGCUAUUUAUCAUCAUAGAGAAAAAAAGGUGACGUCACCACGCCUCAUGCUUCGACACCACAAACUAGACUCUCAUCACCCGUAUUUAUCAUCGAUUCAAAUUCCAGAACUACCUAAAAAUAUAUCUUCAAACUUCCUCUGGUUAAGUUCAUUGAUAGUCAACUUACUAUCAUUUCUAAAAAAAAAACAAAUAAAUUGGUUAAUAGUAAUCUCAAUGAUUCAAUUUUAUUCUUACCAGUAUCUGUCCUUUAGAAAGGGGCUUAUAAAAGGGGUAGAGGUGAGUAAACUUGAGCUUCAGCUUUCCACAAACACCUUAAUUUGAAGACACAGUUCUCUCAUACUAAAAAAGACAUGGAAGUUUACCUUGUAAUUAGAGAUUUGGUUUCAUUGCUUGUUGUUGGGUUAUUAAUGAUAUGGGGAUGCAGAACUUUAAACUGGGUAUGGCUGGCCCCAAAAAGGCUCGAAAGCUGCUUGAGACAACAGGGUUUUGCAGGGAAUCCUUACAGGUUCCUUUCUGGUGACAUAAAAGAGCUCUCAACUAUGAGCAGACAAACAAGAGCCAAACCUAUGCCUCUUAGUGAUGAUAUUGGGCCUUAUGUUGUUCCUUUUCAACAUCAAACUGCUAACCAGUAUGGUAUGUUUUUUUUGUUUAAUCUGCAAUUUAUGAUAAUUCUUUGUUAUUUAUGUAUGGAAUUUAUUGGGAGGAAAUGCAGGAAAGAAUUCAUUUACGUGGUUUGGUCCAAGACCAAGGGUGAACAUUACGGACCCUGAAAAAAUAAGAGAAAUACUUAACAAAUUUAAUGACUUCCAGAAGAUACAUACCAAUCCACUGCUUAAUUUGCUUGUAAGCGGCCUUGCUAACCUCGACGGAGACCGAUGGAGCAAGCGUAGAAAAAUCAUAAACCCUGCAUUUCAUCAAGAUAAGUUGAAGGUAUAGAAUAGUGAUGGGUAAUCAGACUUUACAGAAAACAUCAUACUUAAACCUAUGCUUUUCUGAUUUAGAAAUAAUUGGAUGCAGAAUAUGUUGCCAGCAUUUUAUCAAAGUUGUAGUGACAUGUUAAGCAAAUGGGAGAAGAUGGUGUGUACAAAAGGAUACAGUGAGUUAGAUGUGUGGCCUUAUCUCGUAGAUUUGACAAGAGAUGUGAUUUCCCGAUCUGCUUUUGGAAGCAGCUUCGAAGAAGGCAAACGAAUUUUCCAAUUACUAGAGGACCAACUCGUUCACAUAAUCAAAUUAAUACAAACUGUUUACAUUCCAGGAUGGAGGUAACCGUCAACUUAAUUUACUUGAAAAAGGUUGCAAAUGUUGGAAUUCGCUAAAUUCGUGUUUGUUUUCUUGAAGGUUUUUGCCAACGAAGACAAACAGGGAGAUGAAGAUGAAACACAGGGACAUAAAAGAGUUGCUUAUGGAAAUGAUAAAGAGAAGGGAGAAGGCAAUUAAAGCAGGGGAAGAGAGCAAUGAGGACUUGUUGGACAUACUUGUGGAAUCCAAUAUCAGAGAAAUGGAAGCAAAGAAUAUUGGGAUGAGCAUUGAGGAUGUGAUUGAGGAAUGCAAGCUGUUUUACUUAGCUGGCCAAGAGACCACUUCGGUCUUACUGGUGUGGACUAUGGUUUUAUUAGCAAGGUAUCCCGAUUGGCAAAGUAAAGCAAGAGAGGAGGUUUUGCAUGUUUUGGGUGACAGUAAACCUGACGCUGAUGGCCUUAAUCGUCUCAAAGUUGUAAGUCCCUAGCAUGUCUUUUGAAGGUCCGAUCAAUGAGGUCGACAACUCAAAAACUUUGUUUCUUUUUUCGCUAAUUCUACAGGUAACAAUGAUAUUGUACGAGGUUCUAAGGCUGUACCCACCGGUGGUUGAGCUAGAACGUUCCGUUCCAAAAGAAAUAAAACUGGGGAAUUUGUUGUUACCAGUAGGAACAGAAGUUUCGGUUCCGAUCCUGCUGAUCCACCAUGACAAAGAUCUUUGGGGCGAUGACGCACGGGAAUUUAAGCCAGAGCGGUUCGCGGAAGGGGUUUCCAAAGCAACAAAGAGUCAAGUCACGUUUCUGCCAUUCGGAUGGGGUCCUAGGAUCUGUAUUGGCCAAAAUUUUGCUAUGAUGGAAGCCAAAAUGGCGAUGGCUAUGAUUCUCCAACGCUUCUGGUUCGAGCUUUCCCCUUCCUAUGCUCACUCUCCUUACGGCAGGGCAACUCUUCGUCCACAGCAUGGUGCACAGAUAAUUUUACAUAAACUUGGCUGUAAUUGAAUUGUUAUGUAAACAAAUCUUUGUGAAAACAUAGCGUUUUAGUUUAUCGUCAAAGUCCGGUGUCUGUAAUGGUACAAAUUCGAUGCAUGAAUAGUAAAGUUUGAGAUGUUUGGUGAAGUCCGAAAUAAUAUGCAGAAAUUGAGUGUGGUAAUUAUCAAUCAAAUAAUUCGGUACAAAGACUUACAUGGAAAUUAAAGCAGGGGGAGUUGAAAAUGACUACUCUGCUUUGGGCAUCAAUUUAGAAAGAUUUAAAGUACAAAUGUGUUAUUAGUUAAGGGAUUUGUUUUAAAGAGGGAAUGACAAUUAAACCUCAUGGUUGAUUUGUGGAAGGGAACCGAUGAUGGGAUGAUUAUUCUUAGUGGUAAAAAAAACUAUUGUGGAGGUUAUUAUACUUGUUAUCAUCGGCUUAAAAUUCGAAUGGGUUCAAGUCGGAUUAUAUCGAGCUUGUAAGAUGAGUUCACGGAUCAAAUUUGCAUAAUAAAAAUACUUAAAUGAAAAAAAUUUCUAUUUUAGAGGGACCAGAGCCCCUACCAAUUCCCGGCUCAGCUACUAAACAAUACCCAUAUCAUAUAAAUAAAUACCACCAUAAAAAAAACUCAAAGAAAAACACUGACAAAUGAUAAAUAGAUAGAUGUUGGAUAAGUGUCCAAAAUAUGAUUUAAGUGAAGAUACAUGGGGUAGGUGUCACGGAAAUGUGAAUACAAGAAUACUACUAAUGGGAUGUGUACAGUUGAAUGUAGGGAGCAAAAAGAGGAGUGAAUCAUUUUGGUAACAUUGGGACAAGAAACAUAAUGAACAAAAUGGAAGGAGAGGAAGCUAGUAAAAGAAAUUUUUUGGGUCAUAUAAUUUGUUUGGCAUAUAUUUUUAUAAUUUUUAAAUAUCAUUUUGGACUUGAAUUAUAAUUUUUUUAUAUAUUAUCUUAAAAUUGUAUAAAUUUUAAGGAGUUAAAACAAAAUUAUUCUAUUUUUAGAUGGUUAAAGUAGAGAUGAUAAUGGGUUGAGCUAUUCGGCCCAGCCUGACGAUCCACCCGAAAAAUAGGAAGGUUUGGGUAAAAAUAUAGGCUUGAAAUAUGAAUUUGAGCAAAAAAAGAGGCCCGUUUAGAAAAUGGGCCGAGCCUCGGGUAAAACCUUUUGGGUCUAGACCUGACCUAAAUUAUAUAUUAAAUAUAUAUAUUUUUAUUUUUAAUCAAAUAUACUUUUGUUUUAUUAUUAAUUUGGUUAUUAUUUUAGUUCUAAUUUGUUUCAAUUUUAAUAUAACUACUUUUUAUUAUAUUUUCAAUUUGUGCAUUGUUUUAAGAAUUAUUUUAGUCUCAUUAUUUAUUUAUUUUUUAUUUUAAUAUUUGUUUUAAAAUUUUUUAUUUAUUGAAAUAAGCUAAAAAAAUUAAUAUGGGUUGGACCAGACCGGGCUCGGGCCUAGUAAUUUUCUUUUGGGCCGGACUUAAACAAAUUUUUAAGCCCAUAUUUUGAAUUGGGUCCUACACUAGAAAAUGGACCUAAAAUUUUGUAUUACCUUUAGGUCAGAGCUAUCCUCGUUUUGCAUUUCUUUGAGAUUCAGCCUUAUUUACUUUUGAUUGCCCACUCAAUAGAGGGUUGAGUAGAAAUAUUUGGUGAAGCAAGCUAAGCUAUCAAUCAAGGUGUGCAUAAUUAUUUAAAUGUAAUUCUAAUAUUAAAAUAAAAUUUUUAUUAAUAUAGUAUCAACAAGCAUUAAAUGUAAUCAUCAUAUACUAUUAAAUUUUCAAUAAGAGAAAACAAGCUUGAACUUUAAAAACGAUGUUACUAAAAACAUUAUCACAAAUCUUGAAAUAUAAAAAAUACUUUUUAAUAUAAUAAAAAAAUAAUUUUAAAACCGAGAUGAAUAAAAUUCUAAUUUUAAUUAAUGAUACCAACAACAAAUCAAUAUUUAAAUUAAAAUUUAUCUUAAUUUAAUAUAAUAAAAUUGGACUUGAAUAUUGAAUUUUUGAGUCUUGGGCAAAGUAGAGGUGCUCAUGGGCCGGGUUGGGUCGGGUUUGGGAAAAAUUUCGGCCCGCAUCCUAGGCUCGGGCUCGGCCCGACCCAAAUAUGGGCCUAAAAUUUUGUCUAGGCCUAGCCCGGCCCGGCCCAACUCAUUUUUUUUAAUAAACACCAAAAAUUUAUUUUGAAAAUAAAAAAAUAAAAAAAGUAUUUUAAAAAUAUUUUAAAAUUUUUAAAAAAUAUAUAUAUUUAUUAUAUAUUCGGGCCGGGCCAGGCCCGAGCCAAAAAAGUGGCGCCCAAGGCCCGGCCUGUUUUCUAAACGGGACUCAUUUUUUACCCAAACCCAUAUUUCGGGCCUAUAUUUCUACCCGAAUCUCUCAUAUUUAGGGCGAACCGUCGGGCCGGACCGGGCCGCCCGGCCAUGAACACCUCUAGGACAAAGUCACUCAAUGAAUGCAUGGAAAGAAAUAAUGCAACUUGGUGAUAGCUUUUGUUGGAGUUAUAUGCUUUUUUUUUACGUAGUGGAACUUUCGGUGGAUUUUCAAGUUUCAUGAACUUUAUACUCUAUGCUUUACGUGAAAAAAAAAAUUCAUUGGACUUAAAAGUCUACCAAAAGUUUCACUAAAAAAAAAACCAUUGCUACAAGAUUACAACAUAAAGUUACAAUAAGAGCUUAUAACUCAACAAAGGCUAUCAAUAAAUAAUCUCAAACAAAUUAAAGAGAAAUGUUGAGAGUACCACUCGAAUAGUGAUUAACUUUAAAAAUUGAAAACCCAAAGUUAUAAUAUCCCAAACGAAAUCAAACCAUAAACAUUAAAUUUUUCGAGUCUACUAGAUACUGCAAAAAAUUCAGCUCCAACAGACACCAAAUGAACCUAUGAUCGAAGAAAAUACGAAAACUAGUCUAGCUAAAUCAAGCUGCCAAACUUACUUUUUAUCUUAUCUUUAAUUUGCUGUGAAAUUCAAAACUAAGGUUUUGUACUUAGAACAACUUUCAAAAAGUUAAUUUUGAAAAAUGGAUUGAAUUUUCAAAAUAGAUGAUAUUUUAUUGUGUUAAAAUUUUAUUCGUUGUUUGAAAAAAAAUUUAAAUCAUUUUCUUAGAAUUAUUUUUAGUGAAACAAACAUAUCAUAAAUAUAUUUGUUAUAAAAUAUUUAUAUUAAUAUUUUCUUUUAACAAUUAAAAUAUAUUUUGUGAUAAGGUAUAUUUUAUAAUAAUUAAUAUCAUAUAUACUUAAUAAUAAAUCAUGUCUAAUUAAAAUUUAAUUUCAAUUAAAUAUAUUAAUAAAGCUACAUAUAAUCAUAUUUUAUAUAAUAAAAAUAUUAAUAUAAAUAUUUUUUUAAUAAUAUAUUAAAGAAUAUUUAAAAUUUAAAUUUAUUAUUACUAAGAUUAAUUAUUAAAAUAAAAAUGUAAUGUUAAAUAAUUUAUCCAAUGAUAAGUUAUAUUAAUAAUUUAUUAUAUUAUUAAAUAUAAAUAAUUAAAUAUGUAUGUUUAAUAAUAUUAUGUUAUAAUAUUUAUUAUUAAUAUUUUAAUAUUUUUAAACAACCAUGUUUUAAAGAUGGUGGUGAUGGUGAUGGUGCAGGCCCCCUUGUUACAAUUACAAUAUUUUUAAGUGGGAUGCAUGUAAUAUAUUGUUAGGGUUUUAGAGUGUGUGGUCUUUAAAAGGGUUAAAUUAUAUAUUUAUAUAAUAUGAUUAUUGUUUAUAAAUAUAAUAUUGUAGAUAAACUUUUAUGCAUGUCAAUAUGUAUCCUACUCUGGGGUUAAUAUGUAUUUUUAGAUAUGGAUUCACCUAUAUAAUAGUAUGAAUCCAUCAUGCGGUCUCAUGAAAUAUACAAACACAUAUCGUGCGAACACAAAGUACGAACAAUAAAAAGUACAAAUCAAGACCAAUUGAGUAAUUGAAUAGCAGAUAGGUAAUAAUGACUAUCCCCUCUUGUUUGAAUUUAUUUUAUUUCCAGUGAGUUAUCGUUUAUGAUAAAUUUACAACAAAUGUUUUUAUCAUUAUUUUGUUGGUAAAUGAUAAUAAGAUUAAACUUUACUUUCUUAAGCUCCUUCAAUUCUUUGGACGUUAGCAAGUAAACUUGAGCUUCAGCAUUCCACAAACACCUUAAUUUGAAGACACAGUUCUCCCAUACUAAAAACAACAUGGACGUUUACCUUGUAAUUAGAGAUUUGGGCUCAUUGUUAGGUUAUUAAUGAUACGGGGAUGGAGAGCUUUAAACUGGGUAUGGCUGGCCCCAAAGAGGCUCGAAACGUGCUUGAGACUAGAGGUCCAGGCAAAUUUUUAGGCCCAUUUUUUAGGCCUGGACUGGGCCCGACUCGAAAUAUGAGCUUAAAAAUUUGUCUAAGUUCGGUCCAAAAGAAAAUUGUUAAGCCUAAGCCCGGCCCAUAUUAAAUUUUACAACACCAAAAAACUAUAUAUUUAAUAUAUAUAUUUGAUUAAAAAGUAUAUUUAAUUAAAAAUAAAAAUAUAUAUUUAAUAUAUAAUUCGGGCCGGGCCGAACUCGGGCCAAAAAAGUUUUACUCGGGGCUGGUCCGUUUUCUAAACAGACCUCGUUUUUUUGUCAAAAUCCAUAUUUUAGGCUUAUAUUUUUACCCGAAACUUCCUAUUUUUCGGGUGAACCGUCAGGCCGGACUAGGUAGCCCAACCAAUGAUCACCUCUACUUGAGACAACAGGGUUUUGCAGGGAAUUCUUACAGGUUCGUUUCUGGCGACAUAAAAGAGCUCUUCACUAUAAGCAUACAAACAAGAGCCAAACCUAUGCCUCUUAGUGAUGAUAUUGGGCCUUAUGUUGUUCCUUUUCAACAUCAAACCGUCAAUCAGUAUGGUAUGUUUUUUAAUUUAAUCUGCAAUUUAUGAUAAUUCUUUGCUAUUUAUGUAUGGAAUUUAUUGGGAGGAAAUGCUGGGAAGAAUUCAUUUACGUGGAUUGGUCCAAGAUCAAGGGUGAACAUUACGGACCCGGAAAAAUAAGAGAAAUACUUAACAAAUUUAAUGACUUCCAGAAGGUACGUACCAAUCCACUGCUUAAUUUGCUUGUAAGCGGCCUUGUUAACCUCGAAGGAGACCGAUGGAGCAAGCAUAGAAAAAUCAUAACCCUUCAUUUCAUCAAGAUAAGUUGAAGGUAUAGAAUAGUGAUGGGUACUUAGACUUAAUUUACAGAAAACAUCAUACUUAAAUCUAUGCUUUUCUGAUUUAGAAAUGAUUGGAUGCAGAAUAUGUUGCCAGCAUUUUAUCAAAGUUGUUGUGACAUGUUAAGCAAAUGGGAGAAGAUGGUGUGUACAGAAGGAUACAGUGAGUUAGAUGUGUGGCCUUAUCUUGUAGAUUUGACAAGAGAUGUGAUUUCCCGAUCUGCUUUUGGAAGCAGCUUCGAAGAAGGCAGACGAAUUUUCCAAUUACUAGAGGACCAACUCGUUCUCACAAUCAAAUUAAUACAAACUGUUUACAUUCCAGGAUGGAGGUAACCCUCAACUUAAUUUACUUGAAAAAGGUUGCAAAUGUUGGAAUUGGCUAAAUUCGUGUUUGUUUUCUUGAAGGUUUUUGCCAACAAAGACAAACAGGGAGAUGAAGAUGAAACACAGACAUAAAAGAGUCGCUUAGGGAAAUGAUAAAGAGAAGGGAGAAGGCAAUUAAAGCAGGGGAAGAGAGCAAUGAGGACUUGUUGGACAUACUUGUGGAAUCCAAUAUCAGAGAAAUGGAAGCAAAGAAAAAGGGGAUGAGCAUUGAGGAUGUGAUUGAGGAAUGCAAGCUGUUUUACUUUGCUGGCCAGGAGACCACUUCGGUCUUGCUGGUGUGGACUAUGGUUUUAUUAGCAAGGUAUCCCGAUUGGCAAAGUAAAGCAAGAGAGGAGGUUUUGCAUGUUUUGGGUGACAGUAAACCUGAUGCUGAUGGCCUUAAUCGUCUCAAAGUUGUAAGUCCCUAGCAUGUCUCUUGAAGGUCCGAUCUCUGAGGUCGACAACUCAAAAACUUGGUUUCUUUGUUUCGCUAAUUCUACAGUUAACAAUGAUAUUGUACGAGGUUCUAAGGCUGUACCCACCAGUGAUUGAGCUAGGACGUUCCGUUCCAAAAGAAAUAAAACUGGGAAAUUUGUUGUUACCAGCAGGAACAGACGUUUCGGUUCCAAUCCUGCAGAUCCACCAUGACAAAGAUCUUUAGGGCGACGACGCACGGGAAUUUAAGCCACAGCGGUUCACGGAAGGGGUUUCCUAAGCAACAAAGAGUCAAGUCACGUUUCUGCCAUUCGGAUGGGGUCCUAGGAUCUGCAUUGGCCAAAACUUUGCCAUGAUGGGAACCAAAAUGGCGAUGGCUAUGAUUCUCCAACGCUUCUGGUUCGAGCUUUCCUCUUCCUAUGCUUACUCUCCUUACAACAUGGCAACUCUUCGUCCACAGCAUGGUGCACAGAUAAUUUUACAAAAACUUGGCUGUAAUUGAAUUGUUAUGUAAACAAAUCUUUGUGAAAAUAUAGUGUUUUAGUGUAUCGUCAAAGUCUGCCUGUAAUGGUACAAUUCCGAUGCAUGAAUAGUAAAUCUUGAGAUGUUUGGUGAAGUCCGAAAUAAUAUGCAGAAAUUGAGUGUCUUGAAUGGAUGUAGUAUUUAAUGGUGGACAUAGUUGAGGGACUAAUGUGGUAAUUAUCAAACAAAUAAUUGCAUAUGGUACAAAGACUUGUAUGGAAAUUAGAGCAGGGCGAGUUGAAAAUUACUACUUUGCUUCGGGCAUCAAUUUAGAAAGAUUUAAAGUACAAAUGUAUUAUUAGUUUAAGGGAUUUGUUUUAAAGAAGGAAUGACAAUUAAACCUCAUGGUUGAUGUGUGGAAGGGAACCAAUGAUGGGAUGAUUACUCUUAGUGGUAAAAAAAAAAACUAUUAAGGUGGUUAUUAUAGUUGUUAUCACCGGCCCAAAAUUCGAAUAGGUUCAGGUCGGAUUAUAUUGAGCUUGUAGAUGAGUUUGCAUGAUAAUAGGUGUUCACAGAAAGAUAUCUAUAGUUUCCUACAAAGUCACAUGUGAGAUCGUGCAUUGGGACCGCAUAAAAAUGUUUUAUGUUUAGAAUAUGAUACGUGUCUAUGUGUAUGGAAUCUACCUAAUAUAUCAUAUUAAUUAAUAGUAUCAAUUGCGGAGCCAAAAAAUUAUUUCUGAGGGGUCAGAAUUAAAUUGUAUAUUUUUACAAAAAUAAAAAUUAAAUUUCACUAUUUUAAUAGUUUAUUUCUUUUUAAUUUUUAAAUGAUUAAAUUAAAUUUUUAUAAAUUUUUGGGAUCAAAGUACAAUUUUAUCAUUUCUAAUUUAAAAUUUUAUAAAAUAUAAAAAGUUUAUAUGAAAAGUUUUCUAUUUUAGAGUGGCCAAAGCCCCUGCCAACUUCCGACUCGAUCACUAAACAAUAUAAAUAAAUAAAUACCACCAUCUAAAAGACUCAAGAAAAACACUCAACGAUAAAUAGAUAGAUGUUGGGUAAAGAUACGUUUGGAUGGGCGGUGCGUUUACUUGCGGUUAGUAUAAAAAUAGCGGUGGCGGUUAGAUUAGAUACUAUAGCAACACUGUAGCGUAAGACAAAAAAUAAGCUAAACGUACUGCACUGCACUUAAUCGCCCAUCCAAACUCACCCUAAGUGUACAAAAUAUGAUUUAAGUGAAGAUACGUAGGGUAGGUGUCAUGGAAAUGUAAAAGACAAGAAUCCCACUAAUGUAUGGGAUGUGUACAGCUGAAUGUAGGGAGCAAAGAGGAGUGAAUCAUUUUGGUAACAUUUGGACAAGAAACAUAAUGAACAAAAUGAAAGGAGAGGAAGCUAGUAAAAGAUUUUUUUGAGUUAUAUAAUUUGUUUGGCAUAUAUUUUUAUAAUUUUUAAAUAUCAUUUUGGAGUUGAAUUAUAAUUUCUUUUUAUGUUUUAAAACAUAAUUAUUCUAUCUUCAAAGGGUUAGAGUAGAGGUGAGCAUGGGUCGGGCUACUCGGCCCGAAAUGUGAGAGAUUUGGGCAAAAAUAUAGGCUCAAAAAAUGGACUUGGACAAAAAAAUAUAAGACCCGUUGAAAAAUGGGCCGGGCAUUGGGUAAGGCAUUUUUGGCCCUGGGCCCGGCCCAAUCCUAAUUCACUAAAGGACAAAAAAAAUUUGAUUUUUAAAUAUUAUUUUCUUCCUAUUUUGCUACCAUUUUACUAUUAUGUUGCUACUAUUUUGUUGUUAUUUUUUGGAUAUUGUAUAAAACUUAUUUUAUUGUUAAUUUUGUUAUUAUUUUAAAGACAUUUGUUAAUUUUGUUAUUAUUUUAGAGACAUUUGCUUGUUAAGUUGUAUCUAUCUUAGUGUUAUUUAAGUGUACAUAUUUUUUAAAAUUUAUUUUCAAUUUAUUGGGAAAUAUUUAUUUUGAUGUUUUUAGUAUUUUGGAUGUAUUAUAUAUAUUAAAAUUAUAUAAAAAUUAAUAUGGCCGAGCCGAGUCAGGCCCAGAUUUUAGCAUUUUUAUUCAGGUCGGGCUUGAGCAAAAUUUUAAGCCCAUUUUUUGGGCCAAACCAGGCCUGGGCUUAGCAAAUGGGCCUAAAUUUUUAGUCAAGCCCGACCUAAACCCGAUCCGGCCCAUGCUCACCUCUAGAUCAGAGCUGCCCUCGCUUUGCAUUUCUUUGAGAUUCAGUCUUAUCUACUGUUGAUUGCCCACUCAAUGGAGGGUUGAGUAGAAAGAUUUGGUGAAGCAAGCUAAGCUAUCAAUCAAGGUUGGAGAAAGCUUAGGAGGUCACAAUGCAUAAUUAUUUAAAUGUAAUUCUAAUAUUUAAAUAAAAUUUAUUAAUAUAGUAUUAACAAGCCCUAAAUGUAAUGAGUAUAUACUAUUACAUUUUUAAGAAGAGAAAACAUGUUUGAACCUUAAAAACAUCAUUAUUAAAAAUGAUAAUUACAAAUUUUAAAAUAUAAAAAAUAUAAUUAAAAAUUAAUUUUAAACCCGAGCUGGAUAAAAUUCUAAUUUUAGAUAACGAUACUAAUAAGAAAUCAAUAUUAAAAUGAAAAUGAAAAGUAAUUUAAUAUAAUUUUUGAGUCUUGGGCAAAGGCACUCAAUGAAUGCUUGGAAAGAAAUAAUGCAACUUGGUGAUAGCUUUUGUUGGAGUAGUAUGCUCUUAUUAUAGUUUUAUGUUUUUAUCUUGCAAAAACAACAUAUUGGAGUUUUCGGCAUGAUUUUUUCUUAAUACUUUACAUGAAAAAUAAUAAUGGGACUUAAAAAUCUAUCAAAAGCUUCACCAUAAUAAUAAUAAUAAUAAUAAUAAUAAUAAAUUGCUACAAUAUUACAACACAAAGUUACAAUAAGAGCUUAUAACUCAACAAAGGUUAUCAAUAAAUAAUCUCAGGCAAGCUAAAGAGAAAUGUUGAGAAUACCACCCGAAUAGUGACUGACUUUAAAAGUUGAAAACCCGAAGCUAUAGUAUCUCAAACGAAAUCAAACCAUUAACAUUAAAAUUUUCAAGUCUACUAGCUACUGUAAAAAAUGCAGCUCCAACAUACACCAAAUGAGUCUUUGAUCGAAGAAAGUACAAAAACUAGUCUGGGUAAACCAAGCUGCCAAACUUACUUAUCUUAUCUUUAAUUUUGCAGUGAAAUUAAAAAUUAAGUUUUUGUUUAUUUCACUUGGAACAACUUUCAAAAAAUUAUUUUUGAAAAAUGGAUUGGUUUUUCGAAAUAGAUGAUAUUUUAUUGUGUUAAAAUUUUAUUCGUUGUUGGAAAACUUUUUUUAAAUCAUUUUCUUAAAGUUAUUUUUAGUGAAACAAACAUAACAUAAAUAUAUUUGUUACAAAAAAAUUAUAUUAGUAUUUUCUUUUGACAAUUAAAAUUUAUUUUAUGAUAAGACAAUAUUUUGUAAUAAUUAAUAUCAUAUAUAUAUACGUAAUAAAAAAAUCUUGUUUAAUUAAAAUUUAAUUAAAAUUAAAUAUAUUAAUAAAGCUACAUAUAAUCAUAUUUUUUAUAAUUAAAAUAUUAAUAUAAAUAUUUUUCAAUAAUAUAUUAAAAUAUUAAAAUUUAAAUUAUUAUUACUUAAAUUAAUUAUUAAAAUAAAAAAUUUAAUAUUAAAUAAUUUAUUCAAUGAUAAGUUUUAUUAAUAAUUUAUUGUAUUAUUAAAUAUAAUUAAUUAAAUAUGCAUAUUUAAUAAUAUUACGUUAUAAUAUUUUAAUAUUCUUAAACAGCCAUGUUUUUAAGAUGCUGGUGAUGGUGAUGCUGCGGGCCUCUCUUGUUACAAUUACUAUAAUUUUUUGUGCAAUAAUUGAAGUUGUUGGGUGGUCAAGCAAACCUCUUUUGACUGAGAUGCAUAUAAUAUACCCGCAUGUCCCCGCCUCCUAAAAUUUAAAUUUGUUAUUUGAAUCUUUAAAUUUUUUAAUAUAAUAUACCCGCAUGUCCCCGCCUCCUAAAAUUUAAAUUUGUUAUUUGAAUCUUUAAAUUUUUUAAAAAUUUUAAAUUCAUAAAAGUAAAAUUAUACUUUGACCCUCUAAAAUUAUAAAAAUUUAAUUAAUCUUUUAAAUUCAUUGGGCCCCUAAUAUAUUGUUCAGGCUUCACCCUUGAUACUGAUGUUGACUAUUUUAGAGUAUGUGUCUUCUUUAACAGGGUUAAAUUAUAUAUUUAUAUAAUAUAGUUAUUGUUUAUGGACGUGACAUCGUAACUAGGUUCUUAUGCAUGUCAACAUAUAUCCUAUUUUAAGGUUAACACGUAUUUUUAAAUGUGAAUUCACCUAUAUAAUGGUAUGAACCAUCAUGCAGUCUCAUAAAAUAUGCGAAUAUAUGUCGUGCGAACACAAAGUACAAUCCACACAGAAUACGAAUUAAGACCCAAUUGAAUAAUCGGAUACGAAUCAGUAAUAAUGAAUUUCAUAACAGCCACCAACCCCUCUUUUGUUUUAAUUUAUUUUAUUUCCAGUAAGUUAUUGUUUGUGAGAAUUCACAACAAAUGCUUUUGUCAUUAUUUUGUUGGUAAAUAAUAAUAAGAUUAAACUUUACUUUCUUAAGCUCCUUCAAUUCUUUGGAAGUUGGUGGUUUUUUAUUCUAAUCUUAUUUUUUUUAUUAAUUUCUUUUUUUAUAAUAAAUGUGUUUAUAGAUCAGGUUGGAUUAUAAUUGAAUCAUUGUCUGGUAUUAACAUAAUUUAAAUCGAUUAAAAUUUAUUCGACUGGAAAUAUAAAUUUAAAAUUUUACUUCAAUUUAUCUUAAUUUAUAAAUUGUGAAUUUAAAUUUAUUUAUUUUCUCUCAUUAUAUUCAGUUUUUCGGAUCAUAUUUGGCCCAGAACAAAAACUAGAACAAAAAAACAAAUAUAUAUGUUUUCCAAAAAUUAAAUUGUUAACUUUAAAAAAAUAUAUUUUUAGCUAUUUAUCAUCAUAGAGAAAAACAAAUAAGGUCACCUCGCCUUAUGCUUCAACACCUCAACCUAGAUUCUCAUCACCUGUAUUUAUCAUCGAUUCAGAUUUUUAUUUUUACUAUAUUCUAGAUCUACCUAUAAAUAUAUCUUCAAACUUCCUCUGGUUAAGUUCAUUCAUAGAUAGGUGAGUAAACUUGAGCUUCAGCUUCAACAAACACCUUAGUUUGCAAUUCUCUCAUACUAAAAAUAUGGAAGUUUACCAUGUAAUUAGAGAUUUGGUCUCAUUGCUUGUUGUUGGUUUAUUAAUGAUAUGGGGAUGGAGAGCUUUAAACUGGGUAUGGUUGGCCCCAAAGAGGCUCGAAAGGUGCUUGAGACAACAGGGUUUUGCAGGGAAUCCUUACAGGUUCCUUUCUGGUGACAUAAAAGAGCUCUUAACUAUGAGCAGACAAACAAGAGCCAAACCUAUGCCUCUUAGUGAUGAUAUUGGGCCUUAUGUUGCUCCUUUUCUUCAUCAAACUGUCAACCAGUAUGGUAUGUUUAAUUAUUAUUUAAUCUUCAAUUUAUGAUAAUUCUUUGUUAUUUAUGAAUGGAAUUUAUUGGGAGGAAAUGCAGGAAAGAAUUCAUUUACGUGGAUUGGUCCAAGACAAAGGGUGAACAUUAUGGACCCUGAAAAAAUAAGAGAAAUAUUUACCAAAUUUAAUGACUUCCAGAAGGUGCGUACCAAUCCACUGCUUACUUUGCUUGUAAGCGGCCUUGUUAACCUCGAAGGAGACCGAUGGAGCAAACAUAGAAAAAUCAUAAACCCUUCAUUUCAUCAAGAUAAGUUGAAGGUAUAGAAUAGUGAUGGGUACUUAAGACUUAAUUUACAGAAAACAUGAUACUUAAAUCUAUGCUUUUCUGAUUUAGAAAUGAUUGGAUGCAGAAUAUGUUGCCAGCAUUUUAUCAAAGUUGUUGUGACAUGUUAAGCAAAUGGGAGAAGAUGGUGUGUACAGAAGGAUACAGUGAGUUAGAUGUGUGGCCUUAUCUUGUAGAUUUGACAAGAGAUGUGAUUUCCCGAUCUGCUUUUGGAAGCAGCUUCGAAGAAGGCAGACGAAUUUUCCAAUUACUAGAUGACCAACUCGUUCUCAGAAUCAAAUUACUACAAACUGUUUACAUUCCAGGAUGGAGGUAACCCUCAAUUUACUUGAAAAAGGUUGCAAAUGUUGGAAUUGGCUAAAUUCGUGUUUGUUUCCUUGAAGGUUUUUGCCCACAAAGACAAACAGGGAGGUGAAGAUGAAACACAAAGACAUAAAAGAGUCGCUCAGGGAAAUGAUAAAAAGAAGAGAGCAGGCAAUUAAAGCAGGGGAAGAGAGCAAUGAGGACUUGUUGGACAUACUUGUGGAAUCCAAUAUCAGAGAAAUGGAAGCAAAGAAAAAGGGGAUGAGCAUUGAGGAUGUGAUUGAGGAAUGCAAGCUGUUUUACUUUGCUGGCCAGGAGACCACUUCGGUCUUACUGGUGUGGACUAUGGUUUUAUUAGCAAGGUAUCCCGAUUGGCAAAGUAAAGCAAGAGAGGAGGUUUUGCAUGUUUUGGGUGACAGUAAACCUGAUGCUGAUGGCCUUAAUCGCCUCAAAGUUGUAAGUCCCUAGCAUGUCUUUUGAAGGUCCGAUCAAUAAGGUCGACAACUCAAAAAUUUGGUUUCUUUUUUCGCUAAUUCUACAGUUAACAAUGAUAUUGUACGAGGUUCUAAGGCUGUACCCAUCAGCGACUGAGCUAGGACGUUCCGUUCCAAAAGAAAUAAAACUGGGAAAUUUGUUGUUACCAGCAGGAACAGAAAUUUCGGUUCCGAUCCUGCUGAUCCACCAUGACAAAGAUCUUUGGGGCGAUGACGCACGGGAAUUUAAGCCAGAGCGGUUCGCGGAAGGGGUUUCCAAAGCAACAAAGAGUCAAGUCACGUUUCUGCCAUUCGGAUGGGGUCCUAGGAUCUGCAUUGCCCAGAAUUUUGCUAUGAUGGAAGCCAAAAUGGCGGUGGCCAUGAUUCUCCAACGCUUCUGGUUCGAGCUUUCCCCUUCCUAUGCUCACUCUCCUUGCAGCAUGGUAACGCUUCGUCCACAGCAUGGUGCACAGAUUAUUUUACAUAAACUUGGCUCUAAUUGAGUAGUUAUGUAAACAAAUCAUUGUGAAAAUAGUGUUUUAACGUAUCGUAAAAACUCCGGUGUCUGUAAUGGAACAAUUCCGAUGCAUGGAUAGUAAAUUUUGUGAUGUUUGGUGAAGUCCGAAAUAAUAUGCAGAACUUGAGUGUCCUGAAUGGAUGUAGUAUUUAAUGGUGGACAUAGUUGAGGGACUAAUGUGGGAAUUAUCAAACAAAGAAUUGCAUAUGGUACAAAGACUUGUAUGGAAAUUAGAGCAGGGGGAGUAGAAAAUGACUACUUCUACGGGCAUCAAUUGAGAAAGAUUUCCGGUGCAAAUGUUAGCAAAUUUUUGAGCUUCAGCCUUAAACAUUAGCAAGAUUGCAAUACCGGGAUUAUCUAGUGUUGGUUGCCCACUCAAUUGAGGGUUAAGUUGAAGGAUUUGUUGAAGCAAGCUAAGCUAUCAAUCAAGGUUGGAGCAAGCUUAGGAGGUCACAAUACAUCAUUAUUGCAUAAUUAUUUAAAUGAAAUUUAAUAUUUAAAUAAAAAAUAUUAAUAUAGUACCAACAAUAUUCCAUUUCUUUUAACCAAGUGUUUCUAGAUUAUGAAAUUCAUUAAUGAUUUGUAAAAUAUAUUGAUGCGAUCCCGGCCGCAUCAUGUUUCGAUACAACUCGAUGACCUCAGAAUUGACCUAAACUCUAGGGGCCCAAGUGCAAAAUGAAGCUUAAUUUCAGCUCAAUGAGCUCAAUUCUAGCUUCUUCAAGCUCGUCUAGUUCAACCCAAGCUCAUUUAGCUUAACUUCAACCCAUUUUUAAUUUGUUGGAAUAAGUAUUUAGUUGCUGGAAUAAAUUACUCAUCUUAGUUAAUUGAGUUCAUCUUAGUUAAUUAAGUUGUUGGAAUAUAUUACUCAUCUUAGUUAAUUUAGUUGCUAGAAUAAUUUAUUGUUGCAUGUGUUUUUAAGUUUAUUAAAUUCAGUUAAGUGUUAAAUGUGUUUAUUUACAGUUUAUUAACUAAGCUUGUUAAGUCUAAUAUGUGUUAAAAUGUGUUUAAUGUGUUUGUUUGUAGGUGACUAAUCAGUUGGAAACAAUUAUGUACAAGGGCUGUUACAAAGUGUUAAAUGCGACUAUUCAUUUGGAAUCGGUUACAUACAAGGGGCUAUUACAUUAUUUAAAGGAGAGCAUUAUACAUCAUUUAAAGGAGAAUUUAAAGCUUUUCUUAAAACUUUUUGGCUGCUCAAGAAUGAAAUCUAAGCAUUCAAGCUUAUUAAAUCAACUGAAUUAGAACAUUAAAUGAUCUUAUUGAUAGUUGCUGUUAUUUAGGCCUAGAAUUUCAAGAGUUUGUGCUUAGUGACUAAGUUAAUUUCAGCUCAUUAUUAGCUCAUUAAGCUGAACAAAAGUGACUAUUCGGCUAGGCCUCAUCUAGCACUAUAAAUACUUGUAAUCAGCUCAUUGUAAAAAAAACUUUUUGCUGAAUUUAUGCUAAAUUUGAAACUUGUGAGAUUUCCAAUUCUCGUUGUUCUUUCGAGAUUGAAUUGACUUAUCAAGUUUUCUUGUGGCAUCAUUCUUUCUUUUGUUUAAACCGAAUCUUAUCACCUUUUGGUGUGGCGUUCAUAUACAUUUGGUUCCUAUCACUUUUGAUAGUGGGUAAAGGUCAUUGCUGCUUUCUUUAAAUCGUAAAUCACCUAAGAGCCAUUUUGAGACUCGGGUCAACAAUCUAAUAUUGUUGGUUCAUUCUCGGUCUUAGCCAAAUUAUCCAUUAUUUACUUAACCAUUUUACCUACUACCAUUGUUUGAAGCCAUUUAUCCUAUUUUGUUUCAUUUAACUGAAACGAACUUAUCCUUACUCAAUUCACGAUCGGGUAAUCUAAACGACUCGAAUCAUUCCGAAACGAGUUCGUAUCAUAUAUCCUCCAUUCUUAUUGAGUGGGUGUAAUGAAAAUUCUCCUAUUUCUAAUUGUGAUAAAGUAGAAACUCUCUUUAGAAAAAAGGCAGCAACAUUUUUCAAUUAUUAAUUGAACACCUUGGUGAAUUUUCGUUUUUUUUCUUUUUUUCUUUUUACGGUUCAAUUUUCGUUUGGGUAUUGUAAUUUCAGGUUAAUCAUUGUUUGGUUGAUAUUCUCAACUUCAAUCUUUAAUUUACUUGAGAUUAUUAGUUGAUUGUUUUUGUUGGAAUUAUAUGAUUUUAUUGUGUAUUUAUGUUUUAAUCUUUUAGAAAGAAGUUUUUAUGUGGACUUUCAAGCUUCGUAAUUUUUAUUAUUUGCUUUACGUAAAAAAAACUCGUGGGAUACAAAAAUUCACAAAAAAACUUGCUAUAAGAUUACAACACAAAACCAUAAGCUUAUAACUCAACAAAAGCUAUCAAUAAAUAAUCUCAAGCUAGCUAAAGAGAAAUGUAAAGAAUAUCACCCAAACAGUAACUUGCUUUAAAAGUUAAAAAUCCAAAGUUAUAGUACCCCAAACGAAAAUCGAAUAUUAAACAUUAAAGAUCUUCGAUUCUACUAGCUAUUGUAAAAAAAAAAAAUUCCAACGGACACCAAAUAGACCUUUGAUCGAAGAAAAUACGAAAACUAGUCUGGUUAAAACUACAUGCCAAACUCACUUUUUCUCAUUUCUUUAACUUGCGGUGAAAUUCAAAACUAAGGUUAUAUUUUUUUCACUGAAAUUAACUUUAAAAAAAUUAUCUCUAAAAAAUGAUUGAUUUUUCAAAAAAGAUUGAUAUUUUUUUAUGUUUGGAUGAUUUUUUGUAAAAUAUAUUUCGUUGUUUGACAAAUUUUUUUGAAAUAAUUUUCUUAGAGUUGUUUUUAGUAAAACAAACAUAAGAUAGAUAUAUUUGUUACAAAAGAUUAUAGUAACAUUUUCUUUUGACAAUUUAAAUUUAUUUUAUAACCAGAUGAUAUUUUAUAAUAAUUAAUAUUAUAUAUAAACUUAAUAAUAAACAAUAUCUAAUUAAAACUUAAUUUAUAUUAAAUAUAUUAAUAAAGCUAAGUAUAAUUUAAACAAAUACUCAUGUUUUAUAUCAUUAAAAUAUUAAUAUAAAUAUUUUUCAAUAAUAUAUUAAGAAUAUUAUUUAAAAUUUAAAAUUAUUAUUUUUAAAAUUAAUUAUUAAAAUAAAAAUGUAAUAUUAAAUAAUUUAUCAAAAUGAUAAGUCAUAUUAAUAAUUUAUUAGAUUAUUAAAUAUAAAUAAUUAAAUAUGUAUAUUUAAUAAUAUUGAACAUUAUAAUAUUUUUUAUUAAUAUUUUAAUAUUAUUAAUAUAAUAAUAUUGGACUUGAUUCAAGUUAAUUUUUAUAUAAAAAAAUAAAAUUACAUGUAAAUGAACUCAUUUUCAAAAAAAUAACUUGUACUUUUAAAAAAGGUAAACUAAUUUACAGAAAAAUAAACUUAUUUUCUGUUAAUCUAUAAUUUUUUUUGUUAAUCAAAUUAUUUUCAUGAAAUAAAUAUAAAAAAAUACAAAAAAAAAACAGUUUCCAUAUUAACACUCAAUACUAAACUGUCAUUUUCCUCAGCUUCCCUAAUUUGUAUGUAGCAGUGAACGUUUGAUCGAAUCGAGUAAAAAAAAUUGAGUUGACGAGUCAUAUUUUAUCAUCUUAACUUGAUUUGAGAUUUUUUUAAAUCAAGUCAAAGACUAAGAGCACAUAAAUUUGAAACCUUAUCUAUUUGAAUUUGUUUUUAAAAAAAAAGAAAAAAAAUACUUUAGCAUGAUAAACUUGAAUUGUGAAUUAACUUAUUUAGAUCCCAAAAUUAUUAUUUUAUAAUUUUUUUAAAAAAUAUAAAUUUUAAAAUUUUUAUAAAUAUUUUGAAUUGAAUUUUUGUUGAGAGAGAGACCGAUCUAUCAUUUUCAAAAUUAAAAAAAAGACCAAACUAUAUUUACAGCAAUUUAUUAUUCGAAUUAUUUAAAUUAUAUAAUUUAACUCAAUUUAAAAUCGAAACUCGAAUAACUAAAUUUAAUUAACCCGAAAUUUAUUUUUUAAAUUUUUUAAAUCAAAUCGAAUUUUGUUCGCCCUACAUCAAUAACUUUGUAUCCAUAUCAAGCUUUUUUUUAAGCUAUAUAUAUUAUUUUAGAGAAUACAUGGUCACCACGGUUCAAUGAUUGAACACCACUCCACUCUCCACUUUUUUUUGUGGUUUAUCCUCUUAAUUUUUUGAGGAUAUCAUUUACUAAAUAAUUUAUUUUUUACAUAAAUUUUAAUAUAUAUUAAUAAUAAAUUAAUUCAAUUGGUAAUAUUUAACUAUUCUCAUGACUCAUUUUUAAUAAAGAAAAUAAUAAAAUUCAAUUAUGAUAAGGAGGUUUUAUUUUUAACAAAAAUUAUUUUUUAUAUUUCUAAGUUUAAAUCUAAAUUUAUACAAGUUAUUCUUUAUUUUAUAUCUAAUUAUUGUAAAACAUAAAUAAUAAUUUUUUUUUUUCCUUUUCAUGCUACCAAACAAUCCAUUAAUCAUUAAUUAUAUUAAAAUCUUUGACUUAUUAAUAUUUAUGGACAGUAAAUCGGAUGCUAAAGAAAUCUUAGUCAAACCAAAAAGAAAGAAGAGAUAGAGGUGGGCAAAGCUGAGGUUCAGCUUUCAUAAACACCUUCAUUUGAAGACACAGUUCUCAUACUCAAACCAAAAGACAUGGAAGUUUUCCUUGUAAUUAGAGAUCUGGUUUCACUGCUUGUUGUUGGGUUAUUAAUGAUAUGGGGAUGGAGGGCUUUAAACUGGGUAUGGUUGACCCCAAAGAGACUCGAAAGGUGCUUGAAACAACAGGGUUUUGCAGGAAAUCCUUAUAGGUUCCUUUCUGGAGACAUCAAAGAGAGCUUCACUAUGAGCAGACAAACAAGAGCCAAACCUAUGCCUGUUAGUGAUGAUAUUGAGGCUUAUGUUGUUCCUUUUCUUCAUCGAACUAUCAACAAUCAUGGUAUGUUCUACAUUAAUCUGCAAUUUCAUCGUGAUAUUCAGAUUUCUUUUUUUAUGUCUGAAGUUUAUUAGGGGAUAUGCAGGAAAUAAUUCAUUUAUGUGGUUUGGUCCAAGACCAAGGGUGACAAUUAUGGACCCUGAAAAAAUAAGAGAAAUAUUUACCAAAUUCAAUGACUUCCAGAAGCCUCAUUCCAAUCCACUGGUUAGAUUCCUUGUAGGUGGCCUUUCCAACCUCGAGGGAGACCAAUGGAGUAAGCAUAGAAAAAUUUUAAACCCUGCAUUUCAUCAAGAUAAGUUGAAGGUAU
Molecule: long non-coding RNA, 48239 nt
Filed under: Gossypium barbadense (sea-island cotton)
Lineage: Eukaryota; Viridiplantae; Streptophyta; Magnoliopsida; Malvales; Malvaceae
Description: long non-coding RNA (GBAR_LNC013164)
Source: RNAcentral